RNAcentral lists this long non-coding RNA (61715 nucleotides) under Ananas comosus (pineapple). Its description in RNAcentral is "long non-coding RNA (ACOM_LNC020081)". The record is from RNAcentral. Lineage: Eukaryota; Viridiplantae; Streptophyta; Magnoliopsida; Poales; Bromeliaceae.
AGUAUACUAAAUAUGUGAAACUCCAGAUAGUCCUAUAUAUAAAAUAUAAUAGGGCUCAAACUCUUAACCCGGCUUAAGCACUUUGCGCGGUGGUUAGGUCCAAGAGGUUAAGAAAGUUAAGCGUACUAGGACGGGAUAGUCCUAGGAUGGGUGACCCCUUGGGAAGUCGAAGCAUCAUAGUUGGUAUCAAAGCUAAUUAUCAGCCGGAAAUAUGAGAUGAGUCUUGACUGAGCCAUGUUAUAUAGCAGAAAGAGCGAGGCUCUGAUAUUGUUGACUGUUGUGGGUGGAGCGUAACUCAUCAUAAGAUCAAUUUAGGCUAGCGAGACGAAUCUCACAUCGUCUGGUAUUUGUAAGUCUGAGCCUGACGAGGACGUCACGGCUAAAACUCUUAACCCGCCUUAAACACUUUGGGCAGUGGCUAGGUCCAAGAGGUUAAGAAAGUUAAGCGUGCUAGGACGGGAGUAAUCCUAAAAUAGGUGACCCUCUAAGAAGUUGGCGUGUCACAAAAUAAGCCUGUAAGAUAAACGACUAAUUUAAAUUUUGAAGUCGCAGUAUCGUUGACUGACUGAAAUCAAACAAAUUAAAAGCUUAAAUAUUAAAAUCAAAAUUUUAAAAGAUUGGAUGGUCAAAUUAAAAUGGUCAAUGGCUCAAGCAAGUUCUACAAAUUUUAUCUAUUGAAAAAUCAUAAAAUCUGAUUCAUAAAAAGCUCGUAUCUUAGAUUGUAUUUAAUGGUGCCAAUUCUCAAUUGAAGUGCCUUAUUACUUAAAUGACAUGGAAGUAAACAUCCUUAUUUACUUAAAAAUUAUUCUUGAUUUAUUCUAACUACUCAACCAUGGAUCCAUUGUUGUAAAUUCCACAUACAUGUAAAACCUAAUGAAUUAAACUAUCCUAAAAAAAUAUAAAAGGAGACGAAUAAUGCAAUAUCCUAAUUUCUACUCAAAGUUACACUACAAAGGCUGUUAAGAAUAUGCCUUCUUUUGAACCUGGGUUGAGUCAAAUUAAUUAACCCAUUAAGUUGGUUCAUAAAAUAUAUCAAUUGGUUUUGAAAUUGAUUCUCAUUGGUGAAAGAUACGUGCUUAUCUAUAUAAGAUUGAACUAUAUCUUUACCUCGGAAGGAUAAAGAUACAUUAGGAUUGCACAAAUUAGAAGCAGAGUCGGUUUAUGCUUCUCAAGCCGAGUCCAAUUGAUACCUGUUGACUUAUUGACCGGGCUAAUGCAUUAUAUAUAUAUAUAUAUACAUGCAUUGUGAGCCGGAUUGUGGAGUGGCCUAAAUUAAUUAAGUCUUGAAGCCGUACGGGAGUGCUUCAAGGUUUCCGCAUGCAUGUGCCGAAGUCGGCGGAGGAGCGGCGGUUCUCAACCAAUUGCCUGAGCGGUUCGUAUUCUUCGAAGCAACGGCAUAAAGGAAUUUGGUUAGAAUUUCUAUACUUCUCAAAUUUAGUCUUCUCGGUUUUACGAAAAGCUUUUUUUGGUAUUUUCUUGGAGUUUUCGUUGGAACAAGAAAGGUGGGAUUCACCAUAAGGUUCUUGGUUUUUUAUCCGGAGAAGACAUAAGGUGUAAGCUUGUACUUCUAUUUCUUCAUAUAGUGGAAUACAUCUCUCUCGCUCUCCCCGUGGACGUAGGCAAUUGCCGAACCACGUAAAUCUUGGUUUCUUCUUUNAUCUCUCUUGCUCUCUCCGUGGACGUAAGCAAUUGCCGAACCACGUAAAUCUUGGUUUCUUCUUUCUGCAUUUAUUUCUUUUACCGUUCGUUCGGUGUUUUCUUUAUUUUUCGUGCAUCUUUGUUGGUAGCACAUGACGGACGAUCCAUCCGGUUCCCAACAAAGGCUUGCACUCUGUUUAGGAUUGUGAGAAGAUUGAGUUAAGCACGAUAAAAAAAUACAAUAGAAAAAAAUAUAUUAUAUUUAGUUUUGUACAUAAUGUAGCAUAUGGGAACAAGUCAGUUAAAUAUAAUUUUCGUGAUCUCAUAGAAAAAGCGAAAAAAUAUAUUAUUAUAUAUUUUUGCCACAACUCUUGUCCAAUAAUAGUAAAUAAAUGACCCUCAAUACUAAACAAUCCAUCCUUACAAACAUGACUUUAACUUUUUCGAGUUUUGGCUGGUGAGCAUGUAUACCUUUUAUUUUGGUGACGAAACCACUUGAACUUUAUUAAAUAUUUAAGCUAUGAUGUUGCAAAACUGUAGAAUACAUUAAAAUAUGCCUUUCCUUUUCCAACGCUUGAAAAGAGCUAUAAAAAUUGAAGAUCUAUUCAGUUUAUUCUUCAAUUGUCACACUUAUUUCUAUCUAUAAAAAGAGAAAAAAAAAAGUCAAUUAUUAUUAUUACUAUAUAUAUUUUUGAAGCUUUAUAAGAUUACGUAUAAGAUAUGCUAUCAAAAAGACCGCGUACUUAGAAAAUUCACUUAAGUAAAAAGAUCAGUUGAACUAUUUAGUAAAGUUUAGAAAGUUUAGUGGGUCGUUUGGUAAAUAUCUAAAAUUUAGCAGGUGAUUGUACAUUUAUCCUUUUGAAAAUAAAUAUAAAAAAUGCAAAAACUUAAUGAAAAGAUGGACAAGUUUGGUUGGGCUAAUGAAACUAUUUGGUAAAGUUUAAGAAGCUUAGUUAGCACAAAUUAAAAGGUUAGGGGGUUAUUUGACCACGAAAUCUACUUUAGGGGGUGUUUAUGCAUUUAUCCCUUUGAAAAUAAAACUUAAAAAAAAAAUAGAAAAGUUGAAAAAGACUACUGCGCACUGAACACGGCCUGUUCCCUCCAUUUCAAAAACAGUGAUAUGAUAAAAAUGCAAAUAUAGUCCUUGUACUAUUCUGAUUUGCAUAUUGACCCUUGUCCUUUAUAUUUAAACAUUUUAAAUUUUUUUUUUUCAACACCUCACCCUUAAAUUUCUCAUCAUAAAAAAAUUAUUAUUUUUUAUUUUAGUUUCUGAAAGAAUUUAUAGUUUACUUAAACUUAGAUUACUCUAAUACAAUAAUCCAAUCAUUAAGAACUUUAAUUUCAUCAUCUUCUAAUUAACACUUAACACGUUAUUAAUUCAACUGUUCCGAGUUUGAGUAGAAAAUAUUAUAACUCAGUGGAAAAAGUUGAUUUAACAAUCAAAUAAAAAUAGACGUGAAGCAUGAACGUGCAAAUACAUUGGAUGUAAGUAAUAGUUUCAUAAAGCUACUAAAUUAUUCAACUUAAAGGAAUUGAAAGGCUAAAGAGUAAAAUUAAAAUUUUCAAACAACGCGUGUAUUUUUAUCUGCCUUUAACAUACAAGGACUCGAUUGGGUCUGAUAUACAUAAAAGAUUAUGAGUUAGCUUUUUGUGCUAUAGAAUCAUGGGACAUCUGAAUCGACGAUUGUUACUAUUAAGUAUAAUAUAAAAUAUUUGAACAUUUGAUCAAGUGGCCACAAAUUUAUUAUCUUAACUUCCUACAUAAGAAAUUUUCUUGUUUAACAAUUUAGAAUAUCUAGAAUCUUGUUCUUGAGCUCAAUAAUUCUAUUAUCUAUUUUUACAAAAAUUUUAGAUGUGAUUGCUUGAUGAAAUAGAAACAUUUCUAAAAAAUGAUAAAGCUUGAUUCCUAGAAGCGUCAGACGUUAUUAAACCAUAUUUAAUAACAUUGAUCGUGAAUUCAGAUGCUCUAUUAUCGAAAUAUGAUUUUAUAAGAAUUUGAUACUAUUUAGCAACUGGCCUCAAUGCAAUGAUUAGAUAGUACUAUCAAAAUCAUUUAAAAGCAAAUGAGAAACAUUACUUUUAUGUUAAUUCGGGUAAUGAUUACGAGUCAUGUGAAUCAACAGUCGACACUAUUAAGCAUGAUUCACAUUAUUUAAUUUUUUUAGAUUUCAUAUUUGAUGAUUUUUAAAUAUUAUUUAUCUAAUAUCUAAUUAGCUUCAAAAUUGAUAAUUUUUAAUAGCUAAUAUAAGAUAAACUUGAGUUCACUCGAUCACUAAGAAAAUAAAAUUUUUAAAAUUGUAAAAAUCAAACCAUACAAUAUUUAAAUAGCUUAGAUUACGUUUAAUCGCGAUGAUCAUUAAUUUAAAUAUUCUAUCACCAGACAUGAUGCAGAAGUUUUCGGUGAGAAAUGCGUAUAGUAAUAUUCUAGCUCUACACUCUAUUGUGUGUUCUUGUCAGGGAUUGGAAUGCAAAAUAUGUUUUAACUCGGGCAUAGGUGAAAAAUUACAAGAACCCUUUUACAAUAUACGUUUAGUACAGGGACUAGUACUAAAUUUUCCCCAACACUGAAACAGCGGUCUCAAACCUCUUCUUCUUCAUCCUCUCCUCUAUAUAUACUCCUACUACUGCUCUUCUCUCUCUCCUCCGACUCUUUGAGAGGAAUGGAGGGAGCUCUCGUUGGAUCGUCCCCUAGGGUUAGGGUUUCCACUCCGAGCGCCUCCUCCUUCGCGGGUUGCAAGGGAAACCUCCGCUUCAGUAGGGACCGUGCGGGGUUUGUUGUGGGUGGUGGAUCGCGGCGAUCGACUCCUCUCCGUUGCGAGAGAGCUGAGAAGGUAUUUGAGGUUUCAUACUAGUCAUCCUAGCUAGUGUUUUGCUUUUUCGGCUUAUUUUUGAUGAAUUUGUGGUAGUUUUAAGCUUAUCUAAUGUAAUUUGAAAUGAGGGGUUGUUGUGGGUGGUGGCCUUCGGAAAUUGAUUCCUCUCCGUUGCGUGAGAGCCGAAGAGGUGUUUGAGGCUUCAUAGUAGUUCCCUUAGCUAGGGUUUUGCUUUUUCUUUUUUGUUCGGGUUUAUUUCGGAUGGAUUUGUGAUAGUUUUAAGCUUAUAUGGUGUAAUUUGUAAUGGAGCAUCAUUUUGAUUCAGAGGUGAUCAAAUGGAUUAUGUUAAGAGAAUAUAAGAUGAUGAUUGCGUAUUCUUUUAUUCCAAUUUUGUUGGAGUUUGAUUGUCUUCUACAUAAUGUAGGCAAUUUGAGAUAAGUGAUUGUGUUGUUCUAUAUCAAGAUCAUUGCUUUCGGUGCAGUCAAUGUUAGGUGGAAAGUAGAAAUCAUUUGAGAUGAUUCGGAAUAUGAGAUGCUACAGAGAGUGGGAGAUUUUGAAUAGUAUUUUUUCGAUACAUCGAUUAAAAUUAGGAUUAGAUUAGUUUAUGAUAAUUUAUUAAGUUUAAAUUAUGGCAUCUCUAACAUGCUCAUAGUUUCUUACUUAUCUUGUUUGUUAAGAGGGUUUUGUAUGGUUGAUCAGUUCUGAAUGGUAGAAUCUUGCUCUCGGAUAUGAUUAGUUGUUAUGGAGGUUACAUGAAAUUGUAUGAUGGAAUUAUAGUAGAAUUUGAGGUCUUGACUGGAAUUUGGAAAUAUUUCGUUCUAUUCACAGUGUAAAAAUGGGGUUAAUACUGGAGAGAAUCUAUGCAAUACGAAGAUUGUAAAUGCUGUUCAUACUUGGCUGAACAAAUAAAUGCCGUUCAUAUUUGCAAAAUGCAUACAAAAUUUCAUGGUACAUAUGUUCCACCUAUAGAAAAGGGAUUGUAGUGUGCAGUUGACAGGUGCUGUCCAUAUUUGCAAAAUGCAUACAAAUAUCGUGGUCCACAUGCAGCCCACCUGCAUAGAAGAACCAAACAUGGCAUUGUGUUGCGCAGUCAAGGCAGCACCACCACCGCGUAUUCCGCUUACAUAUUGUUCUUCCAUAAUUGAUCUUAUUUAAGAUUUGAGGCAUUAAUACUGUAUCCUUGUUCAAUCAGUAAAAGCUUACUUACAUUUCAAGUAACUCUCCAUUUCUUUUCUUCUUUCAAUUUACUGUCCAUACAAUCCCAUUGAAGUAUGAAUACUAUUGUCAUAUUCUGUAUACAGUCGGACUAACAGACAGCUUAUAUAUGUAAUGGCAGAGCUAUAAUUUUAUGCUACUUUCUGUCUUGAAGAAAUAAAAUUUUCUUUAGUCUUUCUUCCAAUCACACUAUUUGUUUUUUAUUUUUUUUUAGAUCGCCUAAGUUAUCUAAAGUAUUGUUAUGAAUGGGUCCAGUACAUCCUAUUCUUAAUUUAUCCUUUGGUUCUUUGUUAGAUUCACAUAUCUAUAAUGUGUACUAUCGACAAUUCUCGUUAACACAUGAAUCAUGGUUAUGUACUUGCAGGACUGCAGUAAUGAACGCAUUGUUUUAUCAUACAAAAAUGACGACAUUGCAAACUCUGUCGAAGUUAAACAAUGGGAAAGUGGAAAAUCACUCAAUGAGAUAGCUGCAAAUCAGGGAAUUAGAAUUAGAAGAAGCUACCGAACGAAUAACUCCGAGAGCUUGGAGGGUGAGCAUGGCAGUCCUCGUAACAUUCUGGAAAAAAUCAUAUGGGACAAAGAAGUGGAGGUUUUACAGGCACUGCCUAAUUUUCUUUAUAGCAGAUCAGUAGAACUUUUUGGGUAAAUUGUAUGGACAGUCCCUGUAGGUCUGUCCUAUUCCUAAAUUAUAUGUUCCCUGAAGCUUCCCAUGCAUUUCCAUACCUAACGAUCAGGUAUCAGUUUUCCUGUAAAAUGAUCAUUUUGCUCCUUCUCCUGUAGAAAUGUCAUCCUUGUUUCAGUACAUGAGACAAGGUUAAAUUGUCAUUUUAGAGGUGAAAAAUCAUUUCUUCUUUUUUUUCUUUUCCCUUUAGUAGUCAGGCAUUUAAUUACAAUAUAAGACAGCUCAGGGACUACUCGUACAUUUUACUCAAUCUUUCCCUUAUUGGAUACAGGAAAAAAUGACAUUCUACAAUGCUUUCUUAUGUAGUUGAAAGAGAGAAAACCUCUGACCGUGUUGAACCAACUUAUAAAGGAAGCUCCUCUGGUUAGAGAUUUUGUUGGGGCUUUGAAGGCAUCUUAUGAGCGAACUGGACUCCCUGCUUUAAUAGCAGAGGUGAAGAAGGCUUCACCGAGCAAAGGUGUUCUAAGGGAGAAUUUUGAUCCUGUGAGUUUGCUAGUAAUCCUUUCUUGUGUUUAAGCUGAUUAACAGCCAAAAGGAAAAAUAACUCAACAUGGUUUUAGUGACUUCAUGUUAACAUUGUUUAGACGAUUCUUUUGGUGGCUAUUGACGUGCAUGUUAUUGCUGAUUCUGAUCUGCCAUUAAGUGCUAUCAAAUUAUGUUCAUUUGUAGAUAAACUUUGACAUGCUCCUAGAAGUAAUGUUUUCAGUGGGAUUAUCAGGUAAACUAUUUUUUUAUUUGUAUACAUUUUUAACUGCCACUUGACUUACUUUUAUUUUCCAGUUCUCCAGAUGUUAAGUUGGUUUAUUUUCUCAAUCCAUUCAAUCUUCGCUGCCUAAAUAAGCGGGUUCUCAUUGCAUUCAAGUUUUCUUAUUCAAUCUUCGGAACGAUGGCUACAUCUCUUUUUUAUCGCUCUUUUGGGCAUGCUUGGAAAUUCAUUUCCUUUGGACAUAGUUAGGUCACUAUUAUUAGAACAAUACUUUGUUGGGUUUGAUGGUGUAACCCAUAAUGAAAGCAAUGCUACUUUAGUUCCUUUUUGAACUGUCUUCCACUAAAUAUUGAUGGAACCACUUCAGUAAACAUUUUAAUUUUUUUUUUUCUUUGUAGAUUGUUAGUUCUGCGGCUUUCAUGACAUUCAAGGAUGUUUUGAGUUUUAUCAUUUUAGUUUUAUCAUUUGAUAAAACUGUAGCAUCCUGCAAUUUGAACAUAAGUUUAUGUGGGAACCAGUUAGAAGCUCCCUGAAUCAUAGAACAUUUGUCAUUUAGCUUUUUUUCUUGUGUUGUCUUUUAAAUAAUUUCUUGAUUUUCUUUCUUAUUCCUUUCUUCACAUGCAAACCGUUUUCAAUUUAUUUGAUCAACAUAGCACAAAAUCUCAUUAUAGGACAUUUUUGUUGCCUAACUUUUCAACUGGGAAGUCACCUACUCUUGUCAAAAAAUUAUUUGGGGAUUUCACAUAUAUAUCCCUGCAAAUUAUCUAUUUACAUAUGAAUCUCCAUAAAAUCUGAAUGGUCAUUUAUAUGAGAAUGGAGACUUUGCACAGUUAUGUUUGUAGAAAGAUACUUUUGCAGGUGUAUGCAUGCCAAGUCUCUUUAAUAUUCAUUCUUCCCUACAUAGAAUGUUGAACAGAUAUCUACUUUCUAUAGACUGAUCAAAGGAACUCAUCAACAUGCAUGUAUGUGUCUGUAGGGAGUUCUGGAGUGUUUUUCUUUCUCUGUUUAUCCAGUUCCGACAUAUAGGAUCAUACAAUGUGUUUGUGGAUUUUCGUAGAAUGAUGUAUUUCCUCAUGUUGAUGUUAUAAUGCAAUAAUUUCAUCUUUUGCUCUUCUGACAUCACUUUAUUCUUCUUUCUUUUGUGGCAAAAUUCUAAUCAAGAAUCAUAACAGGUUCAAAUAGCUCAAGCUUAUGAGAAAUAUGGUGCAGCAUGCUUAAGCAUCUUGACUGACGAAAAGUAUUUUCAGGUGAGUUUUAGCUCAGCGAGCUUCCAUAUUAUUAGUAGUAAAUUAAAUCUGUGUGAUAUCUCAAAAUAAUUUAGUUACUUUGACCACUUUUUUUCCCUUUUUUUUUAGGGAAGCUUUGAAAAUUUAGAGGCUGUCCGCAAAGCUGGAAUCAAGGUGAGUAUUUUGUGGAUAAAAUUCCAACUUCCUAGUCAAUUUCUAGACUCUAUCAUUUCUUUCACUUUUCAUUUUCUCUAUGAUUUAUGAGAUUUGUUAUGCCUAAAAUAAGUGAAACAUUGCAGUGCCCUCUUCUUUGCAAAGAGUUCAUCAUUGAUUCUUUGCAAAUAUAUUAUGCUCGUUCGAAGGGGGCGGAUGCAAUUCUUCUCAUUGCCGGGGUGUUGCCAGAUAUUGACAUCAAAUACAUGACCAUGAUUUGCAGAGAACUUGGCUUAGCAGCCCUUGUUGAGGUUCGAUCGAUCAUUCAAAUUAUUCAUAAAAAAAUUACAUUAUUAAUCGACUUUUGAAAUUUGAUUCUGUUUUUUGGAAUGACAAUAAAACGAUAGUCAAACAUUCUUCAAAUAUGGAAGCAGAGAAAUUGCAUAUACACAUAUUUAGCUGAUUAUUCUUCAGAAAUGUGUGUGUGGUGUUAAGACAAAUGGGCUUUUUGUUUUUUUUUUUUUUUUAAAAGAAACCUUUAGUCAUGUAUCUAGAAAGAAAGAAGCGACCGUAUACUAUAAAAGUAUCUUCGGCACUUGAAAUUAUUUUGCUUUCAAUUAUGGAUAACUAAGUUCUGGAUUAGUAUCCAUAAGUUCAUUCUAUUUAUCAAUAUUCCAGUUUAGUAAAAACUAAGUUCUGAUGAGUUGAAUGAAGAUAGAUUCAAUAGCAUCUUCCUGUUAUACUUGCUAAAGAAUUGUGAUGAGAUACUCUUGAAAGGGUCGAUUCUGGGUUCUAUUUUUCUUUGCUAUCGGUUAGCUCUAAAGUAUCUAAAAAUUAUUAUCAUUUUUGUUACAUUUAAGUAAAUUGAGUAUUUUUUUGUUUUGUUUAAUUGUGCACCACUAAGAAAGUGUUCACUUGAAACUUUAGGUGCACAACGAGAGGGAAAUGGAUCGUGUUCUGGGUAUAAAUGGGAUUCAACUCAUCGGUAUCAAUAAUCGUGGCUUAGGUAUGGUCUUGUAUCUUCUCUAAUUGAUUGGUUUCUGGAGCAAUCUUAUUUCAUCCUAACGUUGAAAGUAACUAGUAAUGCCUUACAUAGUUUCUAAAUGUUCGAGCUAGAGAUUAAACAUGUGAAAUAUACUUUUUUAACUGAUUAUGUCCAGUUGUCCACAAUGUUAUGCUUCGUGCACGAGCAAAUUUCAGAUUUCAAAGUACUUGCAUAGAUUCUACUUCUGUUAUCUGAUCAACCAACUUCUUGAUGAUUAUAUAUGAUUUUAAAACUAUAUGAUUUCUUUUCAGAACUUCCAUUCUCAGUGAAAUUAUAAAUAUAUUGCAGAGACAUUUGAAGUAGGCAUCUCCAAUACUAAGAAGCUUCUGGAGGGAGAGCGUGGUGAAAUCAUCCGCCAACGAGGCAUCAUUGUAAGUAGAUAAUUUUCUGUUGCGUAUUUAAUCAAGCCUUUAUCACAUGUUAGAUGAUUCUUCUAAUUCACUGCAUUGGUUAUGGUAAAAUUUUGAAGCUUAAUAGGAGGAAAAAAAUUGUCAAAACAAGUUGUAAUUUCUUAUUCUUGAGUUUUACGGAGUGUAAACUGAAAAAAAGAAAAUGUAGGUUCAACAGUUCAACUCAUCAACUUAUUAGAGGACAUACUUUUGUUCUAUAUGAUUAAUGAUUUUUGUUAAAUUGCCUUUCGCCUUGGAAAUUCAACAUUUCAGGUCGUGGGAGAAUCUGGGUUAUUCACCCCCGAAGACAUUUCAUAUGUACAAGAUGCCGGAGUUAGAGCGGUAAGUGUUACAAUCGCUGUAUACUAACAAUUCUUUAAUGUUUGUUACGUCCUUAAAUUAAAAGAUAGUUUUGAUUCGAUUAUUCGUGUGGAACAUUGCACAUUAUCCUAAAGGAGUUCCGUAACAAGCGAAUUGCCUGCUUAUAGAGCUUUUAACUGUCACGUUUCAGUAUAAUUGUUGGUGAAUAACAUGCAUUACGUUAAGUUACGGUCAAAGAUCUGAUACAUUUGAUGCUGAGUCUAUUAAAGGAGUAUAUUCCCAUAUAAAGCUAAUUGUUAGUAGUGCCGUAUCGUUGUAUGCUCAUGAUGAUCUGCAAUUGUUUCAAAUGAGUAUCUACAGGAUAAUCCAUUGAGGUUCCUGUUCUUCUGAAAACCAAUAUAUUACUUUAAUGCAUCGAUAUUAGUUUCUCCCGCAUGUAGUCAUUAGAAAUAAUGUGCUGAUACUGUGAUAUGUCCGAAAUUGUAGGUUUUGGUUGGGGAGUCCCUCGUCAAGCAGUGCGAUCCUGGGCGGGCGAUAUCAGGACUUUUCGGUAAAGACAUUUCCUAACUUAUAGUUAGCAGCAAAUAAAAUUUUGACCUGAAUUGCACUGUGAAAGAACUGCUUUGGUACAAUAAAAUGCAAUUCAAACUUACUGAUCACACAGGUGUCUUAAGCCUCCUCUCCUCUCCUCUCCUCUCCUCUCUCUCUCUCUCUCUCUCUCUCUCUCUCUCUCUCUCUCUCUCAGGGUAAUUCUCUCUAUUUCUCUCUCAAGUACACACAUACACAUACUCUGGGUGUGUUUGGUUCAAAGUCGAAAUCGGAAUAAGAGUAAGCUGGAAGCGAAUCGGAAUGCUUCAUUAUCUCAUUUUGUUUUGUUCGUCAUCUGAAUCAGAAUCAGAAUGAAUAAUUUUAAUUGUCGGUGUUUGGUUCAGAGAGAUAUCAGAAACGUAAUCAAAUUAAUAUGUCAAUUUUAUUUUUAUAAUAUAUAUUAGUUUAAAUUUAAACUGAAAAUUAAAUAUUAAAAAUUUAUGUCAAAAUUUUAAAAUAAUGUCAAAAUUUUAAAUAUAUUUUUUUAAAAAAUUAAAAUUUAAAAUUGAACGGAUAAUUUAAAAUAUAAAACUAAAUUUUGAUUUUUUGAAAUUCAAACUUAAAAUUAUAAUUUCAAUUUCAAUUUGAAUCCAUAAAUUUAAUUUAAAUUUUAAAUAAAAUUUGAAUAAAAUUUUAGAUUUUAAAUUAAAUUUACAUUUAAAUUCAAAUUUAUAAAUUAAAUUUGAAAUGCUUGAUUGAGUUUUAAUUUUUAAUUAAAGUUUAAAUUAAAAUUUAAAAUUAUAAAUAUAAUUUAAUCAAGUAAAUUUAUUUCAUCCGGAUUCAAUUUCAACCUGGCCUGAUUAGAAAAAGGAGUGCUGGGAGGGACUUUUAUUCAUUUGGAAAUCGGAAUCGGAAUGAAAGUUUCGCAUACCAAAUAUAGACAAACGGAUUCGUUCAUUUCGAUUUCGAUUUCAAGGUGUAAAAAGAGCGAAUCAAACAAACCCUCUUUGUCUCUAGUUAAUUCUACCAAUUGUCAUCACAGUAUAAGAGGUUGCUUUAUCCAUACUGAUUAUGCGUGAAUUUUAGAAGAGCCCCGAGGCGUAGCAUAUAAUUAGAUCAUGUGUCCUCUGGUUUUAUUCGAUAUAUCGCUUAAAUGUUUUGAAGUAACCAUUUCUUUUCUUCAAGAAAUUUUAGGCUUAGUUUGUGAAACUUCAAUUUGCUCCCCUAAGAUUUAGCGUAUUUUUACUCGGCCACCAUAUAGUUUUUCACUCUAAGUACUCGUAGACUUGCAUACAUGUAUUUUUAUUUAUUGCAAAAUGUAGGGUGGUGCAACAUGACUCUUUACCCUCCUGUAAUCUUUAUUUUCAUAGCCAUGCUUUUCAAAAAGUAUCAUUUACUAUCUUAUUUAAUGAUAGAAUUUUAAGUGGAAUAAAAAUAAAAUCAUAGGAUAGUUAAGUGCUAAACCUUUACGGGGCAAAUUGAAGUUUAUCCAAAAGAGUAAUUUUCGGCUCAUAACUUUGGAUAUUUGGUAAAUUACAGGGGGAGUGAUUUUUCGCUAGUGUUUGAAUAAGAGUCGGAAUCGAAAUAAAGGAGGUUUAAUAAUGUUUGACGAAGGUUAAUAGAGUCCACCUUGUGUAUUAUCAGUAGUACGGAGACUUUCGUUCUAUCAAGUUGUUCCCAUAAUAGGACAUCUGAAUUGAUAAUCGGCUUCGUCUUAUAUGAUCUACAUUAUUAAAAGUAUCUUGGAAGUAAAUUUUAUAUUUUUUUGAUAUAAUUUGAUUAGUGAUAAAAAAAGAUAUCUCAAAAUUAACAAUUCAAAUAGCCAAUGCGAUCAGUAUUUAUAAGUUCAAUAGUAUAGAAUAAUUCAUAUUCAGUGAAAUUUUAAUAAAAAAUUUAAUUUACUAUUUAAAACAAGAUCAGUGUCUAAUUUGAAAAUUUAAAUUUAUUAUUAUUAUUUUUUAUAAUAUUUUUAAUUUCAGUCGUUCAUUUUGAAAUUAUUUAUUUUAAAAGUAAACGAUAUUAAAAAAUUAAAAAAUUAAAAAAUUUAGUUUUUAAAUGCUUCUUACAGUAUAGUUNUUUAAAACAAGAUCAGUGUCUAAUUUGAAAAUUUAAAUUUAUUAUUAUUAUUUUUUAUAAUAUUUUUAAUUUCAGUCGUUCAUUUUGAAAUUAUUUAUUUUAAAAGUAAACGAUAUUAAAAAAUUAAAAAAUUAAAAAAUUUAGUUUUUAAAUGCUUCUUACAGUAUAGUUUAUAUCUAAUAGAACUAAUCGUGGAUUCAAACCUCCCGCCGUAAAAAAUAACUUAGUAGUGUCCUUAGGGCAGCUGCAAUACAAAAAAGUAGAUAUUUGGCAGCCAAAAUAUCUUAUAUUUUAAUUGUGCAUUGAAAAUUGAAAUCUGACCGAUUCAGCUGUAGUUUUCUUCCUUUCCUUUUUUUUCUCUCUUUCCAAGGAGAAAUUUUACACUGUCAUACUUGCACCACAUCAUCAAUAACAAGUCAAUCACAUUACUUUUUUUAAAAUAAAAGUACAAUAAAAAUACUUUUUUACAAUUAUGUUGGGACAUAUAUUCUUAAAAGGAUUAAUUUGAUUGGUUUGUUACGUCACGUCACUAAUAUACCCGUUGCAUUCUAGAAUUUUUCCUUUUCAAGGGGGAAAAAUGUACAAAGACGCCAUGCACUCUAGCCAUUUUUGGAAACAGGAUUUGAACUUUAAAUUUGGUGGUUAUAUAUUUUUUUAAAACUAUAUCAAACAGUUUAAUCAACUUCUCUGCUCAAUCAAAGUUACUAAUUAUGAACCCAUUUAGAUUUCAUGUAUUGUACAUAAUUUUGUAGGAUUUUGUAUUUUACAUAAUUUUGUAGGACUUCAAAAUGUAAAGAUUUUUUUUUUUUUUUUUUCGUCUCCAGUGUUCACAAUUAAACAUAAGAACUAAAGAAUAUGGUACAUCUAAUUUCAAUUUUUGUUAUUUAUUUUUAAUGUAUUGGAACAGAAGAAAUAUAUAUAUAUAUUUUUUGUAAAUUUAAAGGUUUACAAAGUUUGAUGUAUAGAAGAAGUGGGGUUGUUGAAUUAUUUAAUAAAAUUUAAUAUCUAAUUCUUUAAAAUUAAAAGUACAUAUAUUUAUUUGCAAAAGACAUGAUGUUUAGUGGAUUUUCAUAUAUUUUUUCCCCAUCCAGAGAGUUUGGAGAUUUGUGUUAGGUAUCACGGACACUUCUAUAAGUCUCACGUGUCUGUAUGAGACACACGCGUGUCUGUGUCGGAUACUUGUCUGAUGUGGACACUUUUCGGACGCCUGUUUAAUACUGAUUCAUAGCACAUGCAACUAAAAAAAAUAUAUACCUAUUUUUAUUAUACUUUUUCUAUGUAUAUAUAAUGUACGAUAAUAAAUAUUUUAGGUUUUUGUUGGAUGCAUGUAAUUUUUUUUGACAAUAUAAAUAAAUUAUGUAUGGUGGAGAAUUUUUUUUAAAAAUAUAUCAACUACUAAUGAAAAUUUUACUAACUUUUAUUCGUACGAAAAAUUUACCAAAAUUAAUAUUUUAUAUAUAAUAAAAAUAUAUUAUUGUAUUAAUAAUAUUAUAUUUUAUUAGCGGUGUUAAUGCCGUGUCCGUGUUCUAAUUUUUUUAAAGUUAUCGAGUCGCGGUGUCCUAGUCAUAUCGUGUCCCGUGUCACGUUUAGGAUUUGUGUCAUUCACGAUGCUAUUAAUAACUAUAUUAUACUGCACUAUAUUUUACAGAUUUUUUUGUAUUUUUAUAUUGUACUUUUUUUUUUCAAAGGCACCACUUAAUUAUAAUUAUUUUUUGAUUUCUACACUAUAACAAAUAUAUCUAUAGUUUAUAUAAAAAUUAUUAAAAAAUACUUAUUAAAAAUAAUUUAAUAAAAAUUUUUUAUGAGUCUAUUGUAGAGAUUUACUUUAUAUUUUUUCUAUUAUUUAAGCAGUGUCUUUUAAUAAACUUAUUAGAAUUUGUUUAAAAUAUAAGGAUUAAAGUGCAGUGGCACAGUAACGUGCCGCUGUUUACCUGACACGAUAUGGUACAUGUGCGCUUCUGUGCCGACAUAUGACACGCUUGCGUACCCGUAAAUAUGCAUGACUUUUUAUUGGCACGAUCUGGCACCAACUUAUUUUAUUUUUUUAAAUCCAAAUAAGCUCUUUUAAUUUUAUUUGAAAUGUUCAGUCAAAUAAUUAUGGAUAUUGGCUACACAAAUUAACAUAUUGAUAAGCUUAUUUAUACGUAACGUAAAAUUAUAUACCUUAUAAAAAAUAAAAAUUAAAAUACAAUAAUAAAAUUCACAAGUCUAAUAACUAUUUAAAUUUACAUCUUUAUAUAGAGAUGAUUACUUAAUUUCACAUAAAUUAAAAUACAAUAAUAAAAUUUAUAAGUAUAAUAAUUAUUUAAAUUAUUUUUAUUAAUAUUUUUAAAAAAUAAUUUUAGAUCUAUUCAUAAAAAAUUAGCAAUAAAUUAUAUAACAAGCAAAGUAAAUAAAUAUAAGUACCAAUUGAUUUAACUUGGUUUUUAAUUUUAUCAGUAGUUUUAAUCUUCUAACUUCAAAAAUAGAAUUUUAUAUUAAAUGUACCUCGAAAUUUGGUUAUCGAGUUCGAUUUUGUGCUCCUCAAAAUUUGGUUAUCAGUAUUUUUUUUAAGGAUAAACAUCAAAUACCCCCCCUGUGGUUUUGCACUUUUUCACUUCAGUACCUUGUGGUUUAAAGUGUAUCAAGUUAGUGUCAUGUGGUUUUAUUUUUACCUUUUCAUCAGUUUCUCCGUUAAUAUUUCGUUAAAUUAAAUACAAAAUAACUUCAGAUAUCCCAUCUAGGCUUAUUGAAUAUUCACUUUAGUACCCUUUAGUUUUUACUUCGUCACUGAUUUAAUGCGAACAAAAUUAGUGGAAUUGAUAAUAAAAAGAUAAAAAUGAAAUCAUAUGAUACUAAAUUGAUAUAAUUUAAAUCACAGAAUGCUAAAGUGAGAAAGUGUGAAACCACAUGGGCGGUGUCUGAAGUUUUCUCUUUUUUAACUUAACCUUUUUUAGUUGUACAGAACAGCAAUACCUAGAUGGUGAGCACAGGGACAGACCAGCUGCAGGCAAUAAUUUCUUCCAUGCUUACCUGACUCUCUCGUGUCAGUACAAACGGGAUUUUUUUUUUUUUUUUUUUUUUUUUUUUUUGCAUAUAUACCCCUCCAAAAUAGAUGUAUUUGCAUGCACAUCCUUUCAAAAGUUUCCAUGAUCUGGGGUUGAUGGAGCUUCCACCCCAAUCCACCCUAAAUGGAACGGUACGUAAGAGACAAUAAACGAAUUCGAGACGGUAAAUAAAAUUAUUUUUAUAAUUCAAGACGGAUUCAGGAGGCGAUAAAAAAUUUAAUCCGCUCCGCGGCCCAACUCUACUGAGAAUCCACCCCGAAAAAAUAUUUAAAUCAUAAAAUAAGUUUUAUCUUUUUUUAGUUCUCUCAAAAAAAAAAAAUUUUCUUUUUAGAAUAUUAUUCAGGUUUUAAAUGUUAUUUAUUUCUAACAUAAUACUUAAAAAUAAAAAUGGUAAUUUCAUUUUUAAUUUUUUUGAUUAAAAUGCUAAAAAUUUAAUAUAUUUAAUAAAAAUUUAAAUGAAAAAUAAAAAAAUUUUGGCAGGGUAGAUUUAGAAGGCGUGGUGGAUCAGGAAAAAACAUCCGACUCAGAUCCGCUCCAUUUACAUCCCUAGCCCAUAGAAAUAGCCAUAUUUGCAAACAUACCCCUCAACAGUUAAAUUUUACAUCCAACCUCUCAUAAUCUAUGUUUGCGUGCAUGCCCCUCCAAUUGUACAACUCUUUAAUAUAAAAAAAUCCUUUUAAAUAUUAUGCUGGUAAAAUCCGUGUUUGAAAAGAUGCAAAGCGCAAAAAGGCGCAAAGCUUUCUGGAGCCUAAGCACGAGACGCACCGCAAAACGCACGCCUCAAGAAGAUGAGGUGCACGUCUAAUAAAAAUAUAACGCUCUUAACAAACCUAAUUUAAAUCGAUAUUUUACGUUAGAAAAAUUUCAAAUUAGUCAUACAAAAACAAAAUUACUAUAAAAAGCAAGAAAAUCACAUUUAUAAAUAUUCUCAAAUUAAAAAGAAAAAAAAUUAUAUUUUAACUUUCAAUUUAAAAGUGCUUGCUUUCUUACUUCUUGCCACUGCUCCUUGCUUGUUGUCAUUAGAGGAUGAAAGAGUGAACGAACAAACGAAAAGAGAAAAAAAGCGUUCAAAUAAAAAAAAUUUUCAAUUCUUUAACAUUUUAAAAUAUAUUGAAAAAACUCAAAACCUGAAAAUCCAAACCCUAUACCCAUCAAACGUAAAAUAUCAUGAGGCACGUCUGAGACACACGCCUCGCCCCCUUAGGGGGCCACCAGGCAACACCAAGCUUAUGCUUGAGUCAUACACCGAAAAAUCUCACAAAAUAAGGCCUCAAAAUAACAGGAAUCUAGGAAUCAGUUAUCGGCAAAUAAGAUCAAACAUCAUACUCGCAGAUGCGGCGGAGUUCAUGUAAGAACAUACCCACCCGAACACCUGGCGAGUUACAAACAUCGUCGUUCGCACCGUAACAUUGAAGAAUCUUAUAAGCUAUUAUUCAAGUUCAACAAGUCAUAUUGGCCCUCUCAUGAUGACAUACAUUCUUCUUGCAAAUUUGUACUGGCUGAUUGAAAUUGCAGAGAGAACAAAAAAAAACAAAAAACAAACAACAACUACACUAUAAAGACGAGUAGUAGUUUAUGACAACUUACCGAAUACGUAAUCAUUUACAUUAAAUAGUCCGUCGAUCCUCCACGCUCUCCAUCGACCCCCCAUCUCGCAUCAUUUCACCUUCAACCACACUGACUCAAAAGCAAAUUUCAACCGCACAUGCUACCGCAUCAUAGAUAAUGUUUCUCUUUUUUUUUUUUUUUUUUUUCUUUUUAAACCCUUGAGAAAUAUCAUUAGUAUUAUAGUUUAAGGAAGCCCUUAACGUUUAGGAUUCCGCCUGAGUAGCUUGCAUGCAGCAAAACCACUUUUUCUGCAGAUCAGAGGAGUUUCAUAAUUUGCAACAGUCGAGAUAUAAAAGUAAGGAAAUGCGUACCAAAUUAUAUCCUUUAGGUUAAUUACUGCUUUAGUCUGCGAAGUUUGUCGAGAAUUUCAGACACGCUUUUCAGAGUUUCAACUUUAACAAUUUCAGUUUGGCAACUUGUUUCGAUGUGUGAGGACAUCAACCUCAGUUUUUGGCACGGGUUCCACUUAAUAUUGCUUGGGGUUUGGUGAAAGGAGGAAACAUAGUGGAAAGGUGGAGUUUUUCAGAUGUUGCUCAAUACGGCGUGAAACGACUUCCUCCCAGCUGGAGCGAAGUCAAUCUAUGGAGGAAUUAGAAUCGAAAAACAAAAACCAUGAAGCUGUCCGAUGUGAAAGGAGUCUCGAGGAAUCAAUUCAGUCACUUAAAGAACGAGGGAGUUGAUGGAAAGGCGGUUCAAGUGAAAGCCAAGUUUCGAUCAAACAAACACCCGAGUACAAGUCUAGUUCAGUGAAUCCAAGUUCUGCUAAAUUUGACUGCCAACUUAUUUUCAUACUGAUCAAAACAAAGAUGUCCUUGGUACCUAAAGUUUGUUCCGUGUAACAAUUAAGUCUCUUCCCUUGGUUCGCCAUUGGUCCUGGCAAUGAAUAAUAACAAGAUAGAAACGUACAAAACUUGCCUAAAUUAUAGACCAUUUUGAUUUGGCUACCAAAUCUUCGAGAUUUUUCAUUUACCGCCAAACCUUUUAAUUUGUUUAACUUGAGUUAGUCACCAAUACUUUGACUUCAAAAUUUAAGCUAAUUAUUUAUUUUAAUGAAUUUAUAAUUGCGAGAAUUGUAUGAAAUAUACUAACUAAAUGUAAAGAUAAAUGAUGCGUUCAAAUUUUGAAGUUAAAGUGCUGUGGACUGGCUCAAAUCAAACAAAUCGAAAGAUUAGAUAGUAAAAUCAAAAUUUUCAAAGGUUAGGUAGCCAAAUCAAAAUAGCCCAUAGUUUAAGUUCUAUACGUUUUUGCCUAAUAACAAUAAUGCUGAUGUGACAUCUUCUUUAGAUGGAAGACUAACAGGAGCAUUCAAAUUAUGACGAGCAAACUUCAAGGACUAAAUUGUUAAAAGUUAAAACUCUAAGACGUAAUUGAAAUUUACGUCAAACUUCAAAGAUUAUAUUUUGUAAUUAAUCCCAAAUUUUAUUGCAGACAUCUAGUGUGGUCAGACAAAUAUAUCAACUUCUAUUCUCCCCAAAGAAGAAAGAAAGAUGAAAGAAAAACAAGAGGUGGUUUGAUUCACAAAUCGUUAUCUUUACAAAAGAAGGCAUCCACCACAUAAUAUAAAGAAGUUUAGUUAUGAUUUCCAAGUCGAAGAUAGGCUGAAAAAAGAUGGUCAUUGAGCAACAACAAUUUUAGUUGAAGUUUUCAGGUUGAUAAAACCAACUUGGAAUCUCAAAAUAAGCAAGAAAUUACCGAAUUAGUCUUGGUAGCAUAUGGCCCAUUCUUCAAUGCGUGCUCCUCCUUCGCAGGUGAAUCUGGUCCUCGUGCGUUCCCACCGGUCUUCUUCUCAUCUCUAGCUUUAUUGAAAAUGACAGUAAAUCCUUCAGCAGAAGCAGGGUCAUUCACAUCCCACUCACCAAACUUUGGUAGAGGUGUGCCUUUUUCCUGCUCAGAAUCCAAAAAAACUAUUUUCAGCAAGACAAUAACAUUGAGCUAGAAAAAUUGGUCAGAUGAGCUUUCUUUUCUUGUUAAAUACUAAACAAGCAAAGUAAAAUAUAGCCUUAGAUACUAACAAAACAAAACUGACACAUUUGAAAGGUUGUAAAAUUUGAGACCCUUACUAUAUUAAAAUAUCUGUGGUAAUACAGUGAAUCCGGUACUGUCGAGUAGAAGAUCUGCAUAUUAUAAGAAUCUAUUCCUAUUUUUAGGACCAUCUACUAGAAAGGUUGCAGCGAUCCAGCACUAACAUUCUGAGGAGAACAUUUAUCAACGGUUUUAGUUUUACAAACAAAGUCGCCGGUCCCCAUUUACAUGUCUAUAACACAUACAAUUAUACUUGUUGUAGAAAUUUCAUCCGAAAAAAGCUGGAAAGUGCUCUUUCUAGGGAAAGCAAUUUCCAAGAAAAGAAAAGGAAUGAUGAUGUUUUUGGUGUUUAAAUGUUUUCACAAUUUUGGUUAGCAAGAAGAAUGAAACAGAAAAUAGCGAAUAACUUCAGUAAGUUUGUCGUUCUGCUUUCUGUUGUCCAGAAAAUUUAUUGGGAAAACAGAAAAAGCAAAUCCAUACAAUCUGGACAUUACUUUUACAGAGAAAUUAAAAUUAAGCACACACAAACACUUGGAAAAUAUUUUCCAAGCAUAAAACUAUAUAUCUAGUUCUAUCUAAUACAGAAACAAGCAGCAUUUCCCAUCAUCUGCAAGGUGCAAACAGAAUGAAUUGACAGUUUUGUAAAACUGCAGCUCAAGCACACAUCAGCAUCCAAAGAAGUAUCUUCAGGGAAUAAUGAAGUAAAUUAUUAUUCACCACCAUUCACAUCAGCGAUACUGAAGUUGUUUUAUCACUAUGCAUCAUGCUGUCUACAUGAUUUUAGUUAAAACAAAAGGCAGUAAUUGUAUCAAGAAACAAUAUGACAUAAAACGGCGUUCUACCAAAAUCAGAGGGAAGUUCCGACACAGCAAAACAACUCACGCAUAGUACCACAACCACAAUGAAACAAAUUUCACAAAUCCAACAACUAAGGCCGUGUUUGGCCAAGGAAUUACUAAUUAGGUGUGGAUACUAGUGAGAAAUCUCGCUCUCCCAUCAUACAGAGAAGGAAAUCGAGUCCCUGAUUCCAUCAAUCAAUUAGAUGGUGGAUUCAUCAACAGUAAAAUCGAGUCCCUGAUUAACUUAAUAGAAACAUCUCAAAUUAAAACUAAGGAGAAGUUAAGGAUUUAGGGGUUUAUUUCAGAAUUGGUUAUAAUUUAGGUGGUCACCAUGCAUUUAUACCAAAGAAAAAAACAAUAACAGAUAACACUAAACAACGGUAAAAAUGUACUAACACCCCGUUAACUACAGACUAUUUUAAAAUAUGCCCCUCAACUUUACUCCUUUUAAUUGGCACCCCCUUAAUUUCUAAUUUUUCUUAUUUGAGCAAUUCAAUUUUAUUGAAUUUAGAGGCUCUAUUUAGUUGUUAUUAGCGGUUAAUCGUUCCAGCUUCAUUUGCUAAUACUUGAUUAAAGCUAUUAAAUUCGAUGGAAUCACUAAUCAAUCUAAUAAAUCGCCAAUUUGAUUGACUAAAAUCAUUAAAUUCAAUAAACAAAAAAGAAAAAGUUGAGGGGGUCAUUUCAAAAUGGCUUAUAGCUGAGGGGUUCUCCAUACCUUUUUUUACCACCAAGCAACUACAAAAAAACCCUAGAAAAAAGAAUCAAAAACACCGCAAACAGAUCCAAACAAGCAAAACCCACACAAUCUCUUGAAUCUAAUCGACUUGUAAAGCAUAAUUAGCACACUCGUAUCCUUCUCCACAACCACAUAAUUAAAACACCAUUUCCGCAUCAAAACCCCACCAAAUCCUUACAACAAUCCAAGAAAUACCAAUCCGAAACUCAUUCAUAACCGCAUAAAUUUCAUGUUUAAUCACAAAAUCCCUAAGAAACGAUCCCACACAACCUAAAAUGAUCAAAAGAUUCAAAACCCUUCCUAAAUCAAUCAAAUCAAACAUUUCUAUACCAAACCGACCACGAAGAAUCCAAAUUUAUACUUUAAUUACGAGAAAAAGAAGAAUUUGAGGGGGAAUCGACGCUCACCGCCAUAAGAUUCCUCCGUAAGCAAAGCGAGAGAGAGAGAGAGAGAGAGAGAGAGAGAGAGGGAGAGGGAUUAGAGAGAGAUUCUAAAUUUAGUACUCGUUGGAAUAAUAAAUUAUUAUUAUUAUUAAAUGCGGGUAGAAAAUGUAUGUAACCCCCUUAAUUAUAUGGAGUUUUGAAAUGACUCCCUAAACAUUUCUUCUUUUUUUUGGGGGCGAUUAAAAGUUUGAAAUUCUUGUAGCUUUUGUGAAAAUGUACGUAAACUCACUCAACUAUAAAAAAUUUUAAAUUUGCCCUCUAGGUUUUGUAUUUUUGAUUGGAACCUUUUUAACUUCUAAUUUGAGUUGAGCAAGUGAAAAUGUACGUAACUCCCUCGGCUAUGCGCAGUUUUGAAAUGAGCCCCUUAACUUUUAUUUUUCUAAUUUAAACUCUUUUAUAGUUAAUCAACUUAAAAUUUUAUUUAAUUUCGUAAUAAAUAGCUAUUCGCAGUUCCACUCUAAAGUAGUUUAAACUGUUAAAUUUGAUAGAAUUAUCAAUAAAUGUGGUAAAAUUUUUAACUCAUUCGGCUAAAAUCAGUUAAUUUCAAAAUAUUAAAAGCUGAGGGGUGUCAAUAUAAAAAAUUUGAGGGAGCUUUUUUAGAAUUGCGUACAGUUGAGGGGGAGUCGUACAUUUUUAUUUCUAAGUUUACAACUCAAAAAUGUAUGGAGAACCCCUCAAGCUUAAUGUUUAAUGUUGGAAAGUGAAUUAAUUCUAAUUAUUUUAGCUAAUAUUUUUUUAAAAAUUUACAAUUAUACUAGCCAUAAAAAAUUUAUUAUUCUAUUUUUAAAUGCUAAAAAUUAAGUGUUUAUUUUGGUACAUAUGACAAAAUUAUCAAUGAAUUUGCUCAAAUCUCUAUAUUUUUACUAAAGUUAUUUUAAUUUUAAAAUUGAAGGUUAAGUAGUCUUAUUAAUGAACGAGUUCAAAGUUGAGGGGUAGUUUCAAAAUAACCGAUAAUUGAGGGAUCUCCGUACAUUUCUACCACAGUUGAGGGGUCUUUUUCAGAUUGGCCGAUAAAGUUGGGGGUCCCUACAUUCCUUAGAUUAGGGUGGUAGAGAUUUAGCUUUUCUCUCUAUUAUAUGUUGGUGAAAAUGCAAGGGACCCCCUUAACUUUACAAUUUCUUUUUUUUUUUUUUAAGAAACUUGACUCCCUUUUAGUUUCUAGUUUUAUUUUAUUUAAGUUAUUCUGGUUUAUUAAUUUAAAAUUUAAGCAAAUUCAAUGGUUUUGUUAGUUAUACAAAAAAAUUAUUUUAUUUUUAUAAAAUAACUAUAUUACAUGCGUAAAAUAGCUUAUCUAUUUUAGUUAAUUUUUUCAAAUGCAAAAUAUCCGUAAUAGUUUAGGGACUAAAAUAAUUGAAAAUAAAUAUAUUUAAUUCCUUGUGAAUUUUGGUGGCUGUUUGGCUGUUUGCAUUUCGACAACCAUAAUUAUUGCGUGCCUGAAAAAUACUGUUUGGUUGUUUGUAUUCACACGUGCAUUAUAUUCAGGACCUAUGACACCUUGAAAAACUUUAUCUAUCAGUUUGUUCGUAUUAGAUUUGGAACGCUGCGAAAGUUCGACGAACUUUUCACGCGCUACACUCUAUUAGAACCUUGUGGAAGUCUAUAUAUUCCACCUAAUCUUCUGAAAUUUAGGGUUAUAGAAAUGUAUUCUUGCACAUGUAAAAUUUUUUGUAGAAAUGCAUUCUUGCACAUGUAAAAUUUCUUGUACAUGCAAAGGUUGAGAAGUUGAAAAGGCAGUGGCAGCAUGGAGAAAGAAAAAGAUAAAAACACUCCUACGCAAACCUAUUUAGUAUAUCCUCAUAGAAAGUCAUCACAUAUCGAGUGUAUAUUCGUUUACUCAUAUGUUUGUAAUGAAUAGAUAGCACAGAACAUACAUGGGCAUAAUACUGUAAGAUGUGAAAUGCAAAUUCCAAAAAUCGUGAGAUGAUAUUUCCGGUUUAGUCAUCUAACUGUUAUCUAUAAUAGCAAAUAAAACUAAAAUAAAAACAAACUCGGCCUCAAUUUUUGUAUUUAUUACUAUUCCUAGUUUUGACCAUCCAAAUUUUAUUCCCACGCCGAGCUUGAAGUAAAUUAUUUUAUUUUAAAAAAAAUGACUUGAAGGCUGAAUCUAGUAUAUUUUUGUAUGUAUUUAAUCAUGCUAUUUAUCUACCAACCAUUGGAAUAAUAAACAAAAUAUGUACAAUUUUAUAUUUAUUCUUAUAAAGUUUUAAAAUUGCGCGUGUACACCUAAAAAGUUUUAAUAUAAAAAUUUUAGAAUUUAUAAUCUAGGUUUUCUGUACAAUGACAAUUGACAAGAUAGUUAAUGUAAAAACAUUACAAAUAAAAGAAUAUUGUUAAAUAUUAUAUUAAAAAAUUAAGAAUAAAAUGUUCACUUUAAAAAAAAAAAACUUUCAUUAAUUAAUGUUGUAACAUUCUAAUAAUUUCAUAUCGAAUGAAAAAGGGCUUUUGAUUGAGAAUAUAAAAGGCUGCGUGCGCACUUUAGUAAUAAUAACUAAAUUUAAGCAUUGUUGGCCGAUGGUUUGAGUCCCACGAGUUAUCAUUAUCAGAAUAUUUAUAAAAAUUAAGUGUUAUGCAGAUAUGUGAUCAGAUCUGGACUUGAGGAGGACAUACUUAAACAUAAAACAUUUUGGCCCAUAGAUGAUAGGGUUGAAAUAUGCGAUGGCAAAAAAACAUAAUAAUAACACUUUACACAUAAAUAUACAUAUAUAUUGAGAUAGUUUAUAGUAAAUGUGUAUAUAUAUAAGGAUUAAAGUAAAACACUUUCAAAAGUGUAGGGACCACUAACGUUGAACUUAAAAUUUUGUGGAUCAAAAUAAAAGUUGGUUGAAAUUUCGGGGACGAGCACUGCAGUUACAGGAGAAUAUAUGCAAAUUUCAUUCUUUCGUAGGAAUACACAUGCAAUUAACUCAAUAAAAUAAAAUAAAAAUAUCGUUCAAAAAAGGGUAGACUUUAAAUACCACCCUAUAGCUUCAUAUUUUCUCAUUUUAGAAUCUUAUAGUUUAAAGUGUAUCAAUUUAGUACCAUGUGGUUUCAUUUUUCUCUUUUCGUUAGCUUCCCCAUUAAUAUUUCAUUAAAUUAUAUACAAAAAAACUUUAGAUACCCCACCUAAAUUUAUCGAAUAUUCACUUUAAUAUUCUUUAGUUUUAACUUUGUCACUGAUUUAGCAAAAAAAUUUGUGAAAGAGAUAAUAAAAAGAAAAAAUUGAAACUACGGGGUGCUAAAUCGAUACACUUUAUACAUAAAGUACCAAAAUGAAAAAGUGCAAAACUACAUAGAUGGUAUUUGAAGUUUUUCCUACAUUUAACCUUGGACUGGAGCGAAGUAAAAUGAACAGGAAUUAAAUUAUAAUAUGUAAAAAGCACAGGGACUAUCAUUUAAAAAGAAUCUAUAAUGAGACAAAGGAGGGGUAUCUUAGCCGUGAUUGUGGGGGCGAGCGCGGGUUCCGAGGUCGCCGUUUAUGACAAUGAACGGCGUUAUCGUCGGCGCAAUUGGAGACGUGACGGCGUUAACAAGGAGCGACGGCCGUUAACUUCUCUGCUACAAAACUAACGGGUUGGGCAGUUAAUAAGAGAUUGGACUCAAUUAAAUUUAGGGUUUUUUUUUUCAAAUUUACUACCCCUAAAAAAAAAAAAAAAAAAAGAAAAACUUCAAGUACCAUCCCUAUAGUUUCGCACUUUCGCACUUUAGUACCCUGUGAUUUAAAGCGUAUUAAUUUAAUACCCUGUUGUUUCAAUUUUCUCUUUUUAUUAUCCAUUCCACUAAUUUUUUUUAUUAAAUUAGUGACAAAAUUAAAACUAAAGAGUACUAAAGUGAAUAUUCGAUAAACCUAGGUGGGGUACCUGAACUCUUUUGUAUAUAAUUUAACGAAAUAUUAAUAAAAGAGCAGACGAAAAAAGAAAAAUGAAACCACAGGAUAUUAACUUGGUACACUUUAAACCACGAGAUACUAAAGUGAAAAAGUGUGAAACCACAUAGAUGGUAUUUGAAGUUUACCGAAAAAAAAAUAUUCCAAUUAACCCUAGCAAAUUUGUAUUUACACUAUGACCUCUUCUUACCACGCGAGUACUUUGUUUGCAUUUUGAAAUUGAACACGGUGAAUAAAUUACUGUGUUCAUAUCCACACUUUAGCUUUUCUUUUUAACUUACGGGCGAAAAAAUAUAAAAAAAUAUAUAAAAAGGAGCACGGUGAUCUAAUUACCGUGUGUCCGUGUUUAAAUAAGAUGAUUGAAUCACCGUGGUCAACUUAAAAAUGCUACCUAGAUGCUCGUGUGGCAAAGAGAAAGCUAUUUAUGCAAAUAUAAAUUUGUUAAGAUCAUUUGUUACAAAAAAAAAUUUGAGAGGGCCAUGUGCAAAAAAAUUAAAUUUAAAUUGGCCCGUUUGUUUCAUGGAAAGUAAAGUUUAGGUUAAAAUAAAUUUUGGUUGAAGUAAAAAUUCGCGUAAAAAUUAUUUUUUCUCCGCUAUUUAUUUUUAUAGUUUUGGAACUUAAUUUUUCUCAGUCUGCUGUUGUUGUUGAAUUCGGCUCUUAUAUAAUUUUGUAAAGCAUAAAUAACAAUAUAAAAAAAGUAUAAACAUAAUAUAAUUAUAUCCCUAACAAGUAAAAUUUUUUUUAUACAUAUAUUAUAAUAAUACAAUAAUAAAAUUCUAAAGUAAACACCUUACCGCCCGGGAUACGGAAGCGAGAAUUGGAGAGGAGAGAAAUGAAAGGCAAUAGUAUUUUACUAAUUUUUUAUACUUUUUUUUUAUAAUUAAUUUUAGUUUACAUAGGCCGAAAUCAAUUGUGAUAUUUUGGAGAGUUCGAAUUACGAUGCAAUCACAUGACAAUGAACCAAACAAUAAAAAUGAGCAUUUACUGCACCUGUCUCCACUUCGGAUGAAACAAACACCUUCUACUUGGACAAACGAAAAUAGGCUAACUAAGAACAUUUUAAUUCUCAAACUUUAAUAUAUUAUAAUUUUAAUUCUAACUUUAUGAAAUGUAUGUUCACUUCUAAUAAUUUUCUUUUUUAUUAGAACCAAUUGCACCAAAUUAAAUUUUCUGCAACUUCAAAAAUCUUACUCUUUUUUUCGAGACUCGCAGCAUACGAUAACAACAGAAGCAAAAGCAUCAAAUCACCAAAAGAAAAAAAAUAUUUAUAAAGUUCAUUAUUGAAAAUAUCAGGAGGAAUUGGACACUCUUCAUCCAGCUAAUAAUAAGUUGGUUAAGAUAAAUAGAUCAAACCUAAAAAUUAAUCAAUUGUAACAUUUUUUUUUUUGCUUAAAAUGUAGUGCUUGGACAACUCAUCAUUACUAUAAAUAAAAUAUAGCUAUCCAAUAUAAUUAUCCACAUAUAAAUUUAUUUAGAUGAAAAAAUAAAAAACCCCGAAUACAUAUCCGUUUAUAAAAUGGCCAAUUUUGCCCUAAAUUUUAAAAUUAUAGUACUUAAUUAACUCAGCGUAGUUCCUAUUUCGUCAUUGCUCCGUACAUACAUUAUAUAUGUUACAAUUGAGUAACUAUUGAUAUACAUAUUUUACUCUUAGAAAUUAUAGGGAAAAAUAAGUUACUUAGCAAAUAGUAGGUCUCUUUCAUAAAGUUACCUAAUCUGAAAAACAAUAAAAUAGAACUCUUAUAUAUGCAUUUCUCAUAUUUCUAAUCCAACUAAAUUACUUCAUUGCAUCAACACAAUUAAUCAACAAAAUAAUUAGAAAAAUACCGAUGCUGGAUUAAGUGCUAUAAUUUUAAAUUUUAAGAGGGCAAAGAGAACAAAAAGGCAAAGAGCAAAAGCAAAUAGUAAUAAUGAAUAUUCUUUUUAGCAUUUUAGCCAACAAUUUAUACAACCCAUGUAUCUAUAAAAUUAUACAAUCUAGAACUUACAUAUCAAUGUUGUUGUUGCUAUAAUAUAGGACUUGUGAUAGCAUUAUAGGAGGCCCAAAAACUUUCCACAAUUUUUGUCUCUUUUGUAGGUAACAAAGAAACAUAUAUAUACAUCUUUCUUUUGUAAACAAAAAAAGAAAAAAGAAAAGUCUUGUAGCAAAUAUUUUGCAGUCCAGUACACAGAAAAUUUCUUAACAUUGUUAAUAUGGUGUCAUCCUGACCGUUUGCCAAAAAAAAGUAAAGAAGCUAAAUAUAACUCCGCCUCCAAUUUAAACAUAGUUUGUUAUCACAUCAACCGAUCAAGAAAUUGAGAUGGACUGAUCUAUUUUAGACGGAUAGUCGGAUCAACACAACGUCACUGGUGCGUAAAAAUUUUCUGAGAAAUUAAAAAAGAAAAGCAAUAAAAACAUGAAGAUAAAAUUCCUCAGUUCUAUUGCACUUGAGCCCCGUUGAUAUUAAAAGACCUCUAGGAAGCCCCUUCCAUCUUUUGUAUUGUCGUGAGGCCGAAAGAGGACGGCUUUGUGAAUGAUAAAAUUGUGUAUCCAAAAGAGUGUGUUGAUGAUCUCACAUGGAUUCCACAGUUGUUGAUAUUCGGAAGUGUUCGAUAUAGUAGAACCACAGCCCAUUGGACGGCCGUCGGGUGAAGUCGUCAUUCGUGCUGUACACAAACUGGGCAGCUCCUGAGACAAUACACGCAUAAAAAAAUUGUAUGACAACAAACGUGAAAUAAAAGUUGAAGAAAGAAAUUACCUAAGCAUACUUAUAGAGGCUAACAUGGCCUUGCAGGAAAUUUAGAAAAUGAAAAGGUAUUUCUUCUAUCUAUCAGCCCUUUAAACAUGGAUCAUAUUUUUUUCUUUUUGGAUAAUUGUUGUUCCUGCCAUACAUCUAAGCACAUCAAAAUAAGGUGUGCUUACCGACCGUCCUUAGAGCAAGUGGCAAAGGGUUUGGUGGUUGGUACCCGAGACGCAAGUUCGAAUCCUAGUUGAUUCACAUUUUCAGCUAAAUUUAUUUCUAAAAUGAAAUAAACGAAGCGGGUAGCAUGCUGCUACCUUUCUCUCUCUCUCUCUCUCAAAAAAAAAAAAAGUAUUCCUUCAACUUCUUUUCCUUUCUCGGAUACAACUGAGGGAACAAACUUUGGAGUUACAUGAUCGCGACUUCGCACCCUGCCAGCACUAAGUCGAGGUAGGCCUGCCAUACUGAAACUCCUCUCCUCGUCUCACAUUCAAGACCAAAACGGAGGCCAAUCUCCGAGUUUUAUCGUGGUUCUGAACGCGCUCUAUCAGACUUCCAUGGACGGCCGACAUUCUUGCAAGUUAUGCUCAUCCAAACAGGCCUUGAUGUCCUCAGAUAGUUCAAACUUCUGUCAACAUCAUAAAUCUAAACACAUGUUGGCUCUGAAUUCGACCUUAUUUAUCAAAACUGAUUCUUCUUCAGCAAUUCUUUAUACUAUUCAAUCUUUUCAUUGCACUUUCCAGUCCCUGAUGGAAACUUGUGGGAACAUUCUCUGAAGACAUUAAACCUCUAUUCUGUAUAUCUUGUAACAGUUUCUCUCCCUCCUCAACCCUGUUUUCCCUAUAAAAUGCUUCAAUUAGCACAGUGUAUGUCGUUAUAUGUAAGAACCGAGAUUUUGGCAAUAUAGCUAAACUCUCAGUCGACAAUGUUUUUGUGUGUAAUUUAAUUACAAAAUCACUCAUCAAGUUUCGGGCGAAAAUGAGUUAAAACGGAGAUUCUAUGCGAUUUUCAAGUUUCACUUAAAGUGAAUAGUAAUUUGGUUUUCCGGAGAGCUCAAUGCGUAGAGUUGGCUUCUGGCUCGUACCGGACUCCGUUCAUAGCAGUCCAAUAGCUCGUUUCGACCGGUUCAGCUAUUCUAGAACUGAUGGCACUGACGGAUUUUGGGUUUGAUGCACAGAUUUCGAGAAAAUCUGAAAAUACAUGUUUCUUAUGUAAUUGUGCGUUAUUUUGGCCUUUGGGAGUGAGAAUGGAUUUCGUCGCGAAUCCGUGACCGAUCGAGUUAAACCAAAAGUGUGACUUUAUUGUCUCCGUCGUGCUGAUCGUACUGGCGUGAUCCUUUCGCAAAUCUGACAGACGGAUCUGCGGAGAUCGCGCGUUGAUCGAGGAGAGGUCGGUGUUGGCAAAAGGGUAAUUUCGUAAAAGUCGCGACAUUUUAUGUAUCGUUUCGCGUGAAACAGGACGUGAAGGGGCAUUUGCACGUUUUACUCGCGCUGUAGAGGACUCAAUAUAAAAUAUUGAGUUUAGAUGGGCUUUUUCGCAAUUUGGAGCUAGGUACAAAUGUAGCUAUCUAGGGUUUUCUAUAUUGGAACCCUAACCCUAGCCACCCAGUUGACCCUAGCGGCCCCCCCUUUGCUUCCCCUGCCCUAGCCGCACGCCCCUUGACUGCCGCCGACUGAUCUCCGGUCAGCCACCACCACCUCAGCCUCUUUUUCUUUCUUUCCCUCUCUUGUUUCCACUUUCCUCUCCACCAUCUUGGACCCGAGCUAAGGGGGAGGACUCGAACCCACCACCUUGGCCGCCUCCACCCUUCCCUAACCUCAGGCAGCUGGUCGCCGCCGCCCCGAACGCCUACGCCGAAGCCACGGCGACCCUCGCACGCCGCGUCCGUCGCCCCCGUGAGCCGCCGUCGCCGCCUCGGCCAACCUGUGGCCGCUCAAGGUCUGCUUGGGCUGAGCAGACCUUGCGAGCCCUCCCUGGCGCCGCCGCCGCCCGGAGCCACCCGUGCCGCCUCCCGCCGACCGCAGGCGACUCCUUGUCGCCGUCCCUGAGGCCCCGGCCGUUGCCGUGGCUGCCUGUCACGCCCUGGGACCCAGCGGAAGCCCGCCCGGCGCGUGCCCAGACCCGCCAUAUGUCUAAAACAUAUAAGGUGUCUAAAACAAAACGAUAAAUAAAACAGUAGAAUAAAGGAAUCUAACGAUAUCAGAGCAAAGUAAAUAACUAAGUUCUACACAGAGGGGUAAGUAUAAAACUGAAAUCCACUAAUAAAGCCAUAAAGUAGUAUAAAGAAAAUUUCAAAUACAAAAGUUAAACGAAGUACACAGGUGGUCUCUAUACAUAGUACAAAACUCUCUCUCUCACAAAACCAAAAAGGAAGAGAGUGACCACCUAGGAGCAACAGCAAGCUCCGCUAUCUAGCUAUGCAACUCCCUUGCAGCGAUCCCGUGCCUCCGUCGGUGCCGAAGGCUCUGAAAGAAACCAUAAAACAGAGGGCGUGAGAACUAUUAAAUAAUAGUUUCCAGUGGGCAAUUACCGACUUCAGUGAAAUGUUCCACUAGGCCCAAAAGCUACAAAAGAGGGUCAGGAUAAGUAUAAACGAAAGCAAAAUAGUGAACAAGUAUGUAACCAUGAGUACUAUUCUACCAUGAUAUCUCUACUUAGCAUGAACUGCAUAAGUAAUAAAGCAACUACAACAUGUAUGUACAUGAAUGUGACUAACAUGUAUAAGCAUGAGUAUGCAACCAACACGAUAUCCUCAAUGCAAAUAGCAAAGAUGUCAUUAUUUACUAUUCUAGUCAAUGUCCACUUGUCACUUUAACUGUUGAAAAUUUAAUCUUAUAAGACCCACCUGAAGGCUGUCUGGCAUGAAGACCCACCCGAAGGCUGUCUGGCCUGUAAGACCCACCCGUAGGCUGUCUGGCUGGUGUCGUGCCUAAUGGCCCCGUGGUAGUCAACAUCCCCACUCUUAGGAAUGAGCCUUUCCUACGACAAUCCACUUUGGCGCCCAAUUCCGCACGGCGAAUAUGUAUCGCGAUGGCUAACUCCGGAGUACCGGCUUGUAGGGAGCGACCCUCACAAGCAUGUGCGAAUGAGCACAAUGGCAAGCAUGCGUAUAAGUCUAUCUCAAGUCUCAAGUCUCAAGUCCUCAUGUCUAUGAAUAUGGAAUAUAUCGAAUGUCACAAAGGCCUAUCACUAUGUCAUCAUGUCUCUAACAUGGAAUAUAGUCGAUGUCCAAUGGCUUAUCACUGUGUCUCUAUAUUGCAUUUUCAUAGUUUACUAGUUUCAAGUGCCCCUUUAUGCACUUUUGUUCAACGAGUCCAAGCAUGAUAAUUAAGUUCCCGAAUGUAUAAUAUGAGUCAUUUUAAACAUAGAAGACAAGUUUUUCACUUGCUAAUGCAAUUACUUUUCACAUACAUGCAGCAUACCCAUAAGACUCUACUAUAUAGAGUGAAAUUUUCAUCAUACAUAAUGCAUGGAUUUUAAGUGAUCUAAAAUUCACAUGAUUCAUAUUUAGUAUGGAUUUGCAUUCAAAAAUACUUUACGACAAGUAUAGAAAACAUAGGAGCCAUUUUGUCCCAUGUUCAUGAAGCCAAACCCACCGAAAAUCGAAACUCUUCGUUUCGCCGAACAGAGGUGUCUACUAGUCUCCUAGCACCCUAAAGAUAUAGGAACAAGAGUUACACAAUCGAAACGAGUAUCGAAAAGCUCAAUCUUAAACCAUCUAAGCAUAAAGGGCAUAACUCACCUCUGGUGAUGAAAUCCCUUCCCAAACUUUCAAAGAGAGCAAUAACCUUUCCAACCCAAUCUAGAGGAAGAUUCUAAACACAUCAAUUAGGUCUCCAAGCCCUCAAAUCAAAAAUUUCCAAAAUAAACCCUAAAAUCCAAAUCUAGGGUUUCAUCUCCCAAAAUCUACAAAAAAUAGGUCUAGAGGGGAGAAAUAAGCAACUAACCUCAAGAGAAGGUCUAAACCAAGCUCCAAAUGCUCUAGAGUUGUAGAUUGAUCCUCUAUCGAGCUCCUAGCCCCAGCCCAAAGCCUCCAAUGGUGAGCAAAAGGGAGAGGAAGAUGCUCCAAGCCUCAAGAUCUAGCUCUCCUCCAACUCCUUCUUCUUCUCCUUCUUCUCCUUCUCUUUCUCUCUCUAGAGUGAGUAUGAGCGAGAGGAAAUGAGGAUGAGAGGGAGAGGAGAGGCUCUAUAAGCCUUCAAAUGUAACAAAAUCCACUUAGGUCCCUUUAAAAAACAACCUGUGCACUGCCCGGUCUGGGCAAGUUUCGCGCUGAGGGACUGGUCUCCCCAAUACCUGGGACCGGUCUCUUAGUUCGUCCCACAAAACCAACGUUCGGGAACCGGUCUCUCCCUGCCAGGGACCGGUCUCUCGGGCCCUUCACGCAAAAUACGUGUUCAGGAACCGAUCUCUCCCAGCUAGGGAUCGGUUGCCUCAAGCCCCUCCGCAGCACUGUUCUGAGGGGACCAGUCUCUCCUAUCAGGGACCGGUCCCCGAGAGUGAAAACUCUCAGAACAAAGUCAAAACUCUAGAGAUCGAACUUUUAGGUCGGAACACCAUCUACGACCUUCCACCAAGUGUGGAAAAGUUCGGAAUAUAUAUCAAACACUCGAACCUCACAAUUUGCAAAGGUCCAGUGUGCUACACCGCCUGUGCCCGUGGAACCCGACUCAGCCCGCGCGGGCUUAAGUUGUCCACCGCCGCCGCCGCCGCCGCUCUCAGCCGCCACCCGAGAUGAGCCCCGUACUCCUCACCUCCCCCGCACCCAUCGCUGACCCCCGCGCGUGCCGCCGUGCCGCCGGAAGCCGGCCGGAGCAAGCUUGCUCCGGCCAAGCCCGAAAUAGGGCUUAUUUGAGUGGGUUUGUUGUUCUGAGCUUCCUGAGGCCUCUCGAUCAAUACGGAAGGGAGCACGAUGAUCAUGACUCAUUGCUGAUCAUUGUGCUCACCUUGGUUUCUGUCGGGAAGGCCCCAUUCCGCUGUUUCGGCGAUGUUAACCCUGUUAGAGCCUUGUUGGCUACUGUUUCUGGUUUGCGUGCGUUGUUCCGGCGAUCCGAGGCUAUUCCGAUGCCUCCGGAGGUGAGCACGGUGAUCGCUGGUCAGUGCUGAUCACAGUGCUCACCUUACUUUGGAUCAACAGAGUUCGGUUAGUCCUGUUCGGCGCGUUUUUCCCCGACUGCGCGCUGUUCGCAGAAUCUUUGGGUUGCGCCCGCGCCUCCCACAGUGAGUCGUUGUGAUCUAGAUUGUGAGCACGGCCUCCGGCACAUCGAGACCUGUCAGUACGUGUCUUGGCAGACCUUGGAAGUCCUCGGUUUGCGUGAACGAGCCACUUAAUCGCUCAAAAUUACAUGAAAUGAUAGGAUUUCAUAUAAUUAGAGGGACUUUUGUACAAUCGUGCACCCUAGGGCCACUGUGGACAGUGUGUAUGAGUGUGUUUGACCUCUGGACUAAUUGUCCAUGAUCCUGUAGCUUUUGCGGAAAUCGAAAAGUCGAUUUCGGUGCGUUUUUCGGCGAAAUUCGCCGAAAGAACGCGGUUUCAGUUCGGAUUUCUUCCGACGUGGUUUGGUUGCCCUGUGAGUUGUCGCUGAGCCUUGUCAGCUGGUCACCAUCAUCAUAUAGGGGGUUCGAUGAUGGCGGGUGAGUGACGGUGGGUUCCGGUGUCGAAAUAGACACUUCCGGGAACCCGAAUUUGUACAAUUAUCCGGCGAUAAUUGUAUAGUAGUGUUACCUUAUGUUUGCUGCCAAGACAUCCAAAUCGGAGUGAUUUGUGGCAGCGGGUGACUCGUGAUACGAGUUGGUGAGUUUCGGUACACUUAGUGGGUCCCGAUAGAGUUCCGGUGUGGUUUUUGGGACUUCCGGUGGGUUACGGUGAUCGGUUUUGGGAAACCGAUUACGGGGAUCUUGUGUGGGGGGUUUGUGAGUCUCGUGCUUUGGGUUAGUGGUUUGGAUACUGACCUGGUAGAUCUUCUUAGGUCCGGUAGACUCUGUGCGUAUCCAGUGUUCCGACGCAACAGUGACAGGUGGGUGCUUCGAGUUGGUAGUCGGUGAGAUCGUUUCACCCUUCCUCUAUUCUUUCAUAUCAGUAUCGUAGUCUCUACAUGUCAGUUGAUUGUUUAUUGUUUGUUCAUCUAUAUCUCGUUGAUUGUAUUAUGUUAGUUGUGGAUAGACAUGUAGAGCAGGUUGCAUGUGUAUUGUAUCUCUGUGGACCUUGGGUUCAGGCAACACAUCGACUCCUUUGUCGUGUGUUUUGAUUUGGUUGAUCGUGGUUCAGCAUUGUACGCCCUUGCACCUGGCUUCGGCUGUUAGUUUUAUGCCCUAGAAGCCUAUCAGGCUGACGCAUUUUAUUUUCUAUGGGACAUAUUUUUGUAUUUAAUCUUUAUUAUUUAUAUAAUUGACCCUUUUAUUCCAUUCAUGUUAAAUGUGUCCAUAAAUCGUCCUUUGAAUUAAUAAGAUGAUAAUAUGUAUUCUCAAGAGUUGAGAAUUUGAGAUACAUAUUAUUGGUGAUUAAUUCAUAAAUGCUCUCAAUCGGAGGAUCAUCAUGGGGACGAUGAUUGAUCCGGUAAGAUUGAUGUGUAUGUCGCUUCCCUUUGGGAUGACGAAUCUCGAGUCAUCAGUGUGGGGACACAGGAGCGAACAUGCAGGUGGUUGUUGGAGAACAAGGGUACUGAGCGUGACCAACUACGAAUAGUUACAUGGAUGUCUACUCAAUCGUCAGUAACUGGUUCGAUGUUGCAGUGGUACAACUGAUCCUUAGACCUGUGACACCACGGCCAUUCAAUAUAAGGCUACUGUAGUUUGACUAUGCAACAAACUCUGAUCCUAGCCAUGGGUCUUAGUAGUAUAUGUUGGCUGCAGUCGGUUCAUAUCAGGAAUGGGUGUGUGUUUAUAGGGGAUCUAUCGCUCUCGGUAGAGAGAUAAUUAGUUCUAUGCUAUUUGUAAGGCAAAGCUCAGAAAUCCUCGGCCGGGGUAAUAUGGUGUAUGGAAAGAUGUUUCCAAGAGUAACCAUAAGAGCUUCUGUCUGAUCAAAUUUGUCAUAUGACGUGUGAUGGGGUUUGACGAAUAUUCUAUGACCUCCACGCAGUUGGAACUAUUCGAUAGAAGGAUUGUAUUAUACGGUAACUGCACCUAGAGGUUCAAUCCGAUAUUCACUUCUGACUGGAUUGCCACUACAUGCUGCUAGGCGUCACUGGUGGAUUGUGGGAACCAAUAGAAAUAAUUAUUAAUAUUUAAUUAUUCUAUUAGGGUGGAAUCAAAAAAGUUUGAGCCAUCGAAAGGAGUUUCGAUGAUGAUAUAGAUGGGGAUCGCAUCAUAUCUCACUACCAGACAGAAUUGAACCUAUUAGGUCACACACAUAAAAACUUGCGCAUGAUCGAUAUUUAGGAGAAGAUAAAAGAAGUUUAUCAGAUGGAUUAAUUACAAUUAUAAUAUAGUUAAAUACUAAAGUUUACUAAUUUGUUAGUAAAAGGACUAAUUUGCAAUUAUUGUAAAUUAGAGGUAUUUAUGUGUAAAAGUUGCAUGGUGUAUUUACUAAUCGUUAGUAAAUAAUAUGAGGACUUAUGUGUAAACGUUACACACGAAUCGAAUUAGAAUUAGGAUUCGGAAUUCGGUUAAUAUCAUAACCAACUUGCGGGUUAAUGGAUAAUCAAAUCGGAAUAGGAUUUCGAUUAGGAUUAGGAUUAUGUUAGGGUUUUCUCAUUAUAAAUAUAUGUCAUAUGACAUAUUAAAAGAAGUGAAAAUUUAAUACAAGAGAAAUUGAAAACCCUAGCCGUCAAUCCUCUUUUUUCCUCUAGUCCUCCAUAAUUAAUCCAUAGGUUUUGAUAUUCAAAAGGUUGCUAGCACAUCUAGAAGAUCGAUUCAUCUUCCUCAAGUCGACACAAGAGUUAAUUCGUGAUCGGAUCAUGGAUCGAAGCGGUCGUUUAAUUCGAUCAAGGGCGUGAUUUCGUGUGGACGCGAGUAGAGGCCGGGCGCGUGCGCAGCUAAACAAGGACGAACAAUUUUACCAACGAUUGUCGACUUCGCGGUGAUCUCGACCCGCGCGAGGUAAAAUAAAAAUAUAGAUCCUAUUUGAUUAGAUCAAUUAGAUCUAUUAUUAAUGAUCUAAAACGAAACACGAGGUGGUCUUUGGUUUUCAAGAAAAUUUUUAAUUGUGUUUUUUUCUUCCGCUGCGUACAUAUGAUUUUCUUACAUCGGCCAUGGCACCGGUCUCUUUUUGCCGGUUUUCGUUUUGAGCAUAUCAGCAUGAUUUAGUCACAGCACUGUGUAUUCUAGACACCAGGUUGGUUUGGCCACCAACCAAGGGGUGUACGUAUCCGGAUAGGUCGUUGGUGAUGCAUGAAUAAGUUGAUAGUGUCUGCUCUGUGACAGGCAACGCUUGAGGUCUGUGGACCAAUAUAGCAGCAUCAGAUUGGGUUUGAUUUCGGACUAUUUACUCUUGAGGCAUCCGUUCAGUUGAGUUUUUAUUACAGUAGUAGUUUCAUUCUUGCUCAGUUAUUAUUAUGUUUCUAUUACUAUUGUAGUUGCUCUUAUAUCGUAUCAUGUUCAUAUCUGUUGUUCUAUCUCCUUUGAUUUUCGGUGAUUAUGGCUUACCUUCGUGGCUCUGUCGUACCUACUGGGAAACCAUGGUUGCGGUUUCUCACCCCCAUUCCCCCCAGGUGACAUGGACCAGGAGUUGGUAUUUGGGCUCGAAGGGAGGACGAUCUAGCUAGACGGCGGUAGCGACCGUCACCCUGGUUAUAUUUCUUCCCGCAUUUAGCAGUUGUUAAUAAUAUAUGAUUCAGUUAGAUGUUUGAAUGUUUGUGAUUUCCGUUAUGCAUGAUUAGAGAUUUUGUGGGUCACUGGUUUUGGUUUUAUGGAUAUUCAGUUCUCGGAUUUGUGUAUUUAUACAUAUUUACGCAUCGUGGUUUUCUAUCCCUCGAGAUAGUUGAUUUUCAAAAUAGAGUUUCCGUGUGGGAAACAGUUUUAAAAAGGUUUUCGAAUGGUUUUUAUGAAUGAAUAAAUUAGAGUUUAAAAACAAAAGCUUCCGUGUGGGGAGCACUUUUAAAUAGAAUGUUUGUUGUAUUGUGCAUUGCAUCAUCCAGCGCCUAAGGAGUGCUUAGAGGCAUGCAUCAUCUCUAAGGAUCAUUAGCUGUAUGGAAAUGUAUAUCAUGAAUUGGUUGUUGAUUGGUAAAUGUAGGUUGUGGUUGAAAUCCUCUUGUAUAGUUUGUACGCCGUGCAAAUACAAAGGAGACUCUGUCCGAGUGGACAGAGGAACUUUGUAUUUGUGGCGGAUCUGUAUGUCACGUGGGCCAGGUUGAAAAAAAAAAAAAAUUGGCACGUCUUCCGCAACUCUGUUUCAAAAUGGUAAUGAAUUUUAAAAAGGCUUUUAAAAUCGGCCCCGGGGCGUGACAUUAUAUUAGGCCAAAGCUCCCUUUGUAUUAUUUCUUCGUACAACUUUAGCGCAUCAGAAACAUGGCUAGUUUCGCAUAGUUCGGUGAUAAGAACAUUAAAAGUCACGAUAUCUACUUUCAGUCCAUACCGUUCCAUCACAUCCUUCAAGUACAAAGCAUCAUCAAUUUUAGCUUCUUUACAAAGCCCGUGCAUGUGGUUUAAAAUGUAUCAAUUUAGUACUAUAUGAUUUCAUUUUUCUCUUUUCGUCAGCUUAUCCGUUAAUAUUUCGUUAAAUUAUAUAAAAAAAAACUUCAGAUACCCCACCUAGGUUUAUCGAAUAUUCAUUUUAGUAUCUUUUAAUUUUAACUUUGCCAUUAAUUUAACGAAAAAAUAUUAGUGGAGGGGAUAAUAAAAAGAACAAAAUGAAACCAUAGGGUACUAAAUUGAUACACUUUAAACCACACGGUACUAAAAUAAAAAAUUACGAAAUUACAGGAGUUGUAUUUAAAGUUUUCUAAAAUUUUAAAAAAAAUCGGCCCGUUUGUUGAAAUAAAUUUUGGUUGAUGUAAAAUUCAUGUAAAAAUUAUUUUUUCUUCACUGUUUAUUUUUAUAGAAUUUUUUUUAUUUCUGCGGUUGUUGUUGAAUUUGGCUCUUAUAUAAUUUUUAUAAAGCAUAGAUAACAACAAAAAAAAGUAUAAACAUAAUAUAAUUAUAUCCCCAACAAGUAAAUUAUUUUUCUUCAUACAUAUAUAUAUUAUAAUAAUACAACAAUAAAACUUUAAAGUAAACACCUUACUGCCGGCGAAAUCAAUUGUGAUAUUUUAGAGAGUUCGAAUUACGACGCAAUUCAGAUAACGGUGAACCGAACAAUAAAAAUGAGCAUUUACUGCAUCCCUCUCCACUUCGCAUGAAACAAACACCCUCUAAUCGGACAAAGAAAAUAGGCUAACUAAGAAGAACAUUUUAAUUCUCAAACUUUAAUGUAUAGUAAUUUUAAUUCUAACUUUAUGAAUUAUAUAUUCACUUUCAAUAAAUUUCUUCUUUUACCAGAACCACGUGCACUAAGUUAAUUUUUUUGCAUUUGAGACUUCAAAAAUCUUACUUUUGGUUUCGAGAAUGACAGCAUUCAAUAACAGCAGAAGCAAAAGCAUCACAUCGCUGAAAGAAAAAAAAAAUAUUUAUAAAACUCAUUAUUGGAAAUAACAGAAGGAAUUGGAUAUUCUUCAUCCAGCUAAUAAUAAGUUGGUUUAGAUAAAUAGAUCAAACCUAGAAAUUAAUCAAUUGUAGCAUUUUUUUUGCUUAAAGAGUAGUACUUGGACAAGCCUAGGCGUGUAAACGAGCUGAACACGAGCGAGCUGGGGCCGACUCGUGUUCGGCUCAUUUAAUAAACGAGCCGAACACGAGCUAGCUCAUUAAAGUAUCGAUCCAAAAAAUUUAGCUCAUGUUCGGCUCGUUAACAAAAGAACCGAACACGAGCUGGCUCACAAGCUGGCCAACGAACAAUAAAUUAAAAAAGAAUUAAAUUAAAUAUAUAUAAAAAAUAAAUAUAUAAAAUCUUAUCCAUUAAACUUGAUCUAAUAGUUGAACUUUAAUAUAAAUGAGUUAUUUUUGAUAAGAGCUUGCCUGUUAUAUUUUUAUUUUUUUGCUUAAAAAUUAAAUAAUUAAAAUACGUAUAUAUAUAUAUAAUUAUUAUAUAUAUAUAUAUGAUAUAAAUUAAUAUUAAAUGAUAAAAUAUAUGUAUUUCGAGUCGUUAUCGAGCCGAAAUGACUGAGCGAGCUGACCCUUCAGGUUGUUUUUCCCGUAUUUGCUCGUUAUUAAAAAGAGCGAAAAAUUAGCUCCUGUUUGGUUCAAUAUAACUUUGAACCAAACGCGCUUUAUAGUAAUGGGUGAUUAUCUUAGGGUGGCAAAUCAGUUUUCUCGUGUUUUCGCGAGCAGCUCGUCAGGCUCGUUGUGACUAAAUGAUGCGAUUCGAUUCGAGUUCAUUUCGAGACGAAACGAGUUGGCCGCGAACGGCGAUUUGGCUGGGAUUGCCACCUAAUAGUCAUUCUUUAUUAAAGGGGGUGUUUGGUUAAUUUAUUAUAUUAAGAGGGGAUUCAAAUAUAUCUAAUGAUCUUGGAUUUUUAAAAGAGGAUAUAUAUUAUGUUGCGAUUAGCACGUUUGGUUUUAUCAGAGUAUGUAAGCUGGAUGCAGUGUCUAGUGAAAUUAUAUUUGGUCGCUAAUAAUCAUAAUGUAGAAAAUAAAGUGUGUUAGUCGAUUAUCAAAGUUUGUCCUUUAACAUUAUUUUUGUAAAACUAUUGUUAUUACUAUUAUUACAAAAUUAAUAUUUUUUUACGUAAAUUUUUUAUUGUUGAUAUAAAUUUAAUUUUUAAAAUUUUAAAUUUAAAUUUUAAAUGUUUAAAUUGAAACAAAAAUUAAAUUUAGUAUAUUUUAAAUUAAGAAGUAUAAUAUAUUGAUAAUUUAUGAAAAUUUAAUUCCAAAAUAUAAUUUAUAAAAUUAAAAAUACUUAAAAAAUCUUAAAUUUUAAAUUUCAGAAUAUUAAGAUAUACAUUUGAGUUUUAAAUUUAUAAUUGGUAUUAUUUUUUUUAAAUUUUUGGGGCGGAGAAAGGUGGGUGGUGGGUGGGGAUAUUUAAAGAUUCUUAAAAAUUUGAAAUUUAAAAUCUAAAAUUUAAAUUCAAAUUUAAAAUUUAAAAUUUAAAUUUGAAUUUUAAAAAUUUAAAAAUUAAAAAUUAAAAAUUAAAAAUUUAAAUUUUAAAUUUAAAAUUUAAAAGUUGACAAUUCAAAAUUUAAAAUUAAAUUUUUAAAAAUGACGUAUUGAAACGGUUUCGGGAGUUAGAGGAGUAAAAUUGUCAUUUUACAUAAUAUGUAGUAUUAUCGGUUUUCAGUAAUGCAAGAUACACGAUCCCCUUCUCGUUAAUAUUUUCGGUGUAAUCCUGCUCGAUUUGUAAUGCUACAUUAACGACUAGAUUACAUAGCAGAUAAACCGCACAGUAAUCUUGACAGGAUUGUCUGUAAUCCUGUCAGGAUAACUCGAACCAAACGCACCCUAAAUAAAAUAUAGCUAUACAAUAUGAUUAUCCACAUAUAAAUUUAUUUAGGUGAAAAAAAUAAAAAAUCUCCCAUAAAUAUCCGCUUUUGAAAUGGCCAAUUUUGCCCUAAAUUUUAAAAUUGUAGUACUUAACUCAGCAUAGUUCUUAUUUCAUCAUUGCAUUGUAUAUAUAUUACAAUUGAGUAACUAUUGAUAUACAUAUUUUACUCUCAAAAAUUAUGGAAAAAAAAAAGUUAAUUAGCAAAUAGUAGGUCUCUUUUAUAAAGUUACCUAAUCUGAAAAAAUAAAAUAAAAUUCUUAUGCAUUUCUCAUAUUUUUAAUCCAACUAAAUUACUUCGUUGUAUCACACAAUUAAUCAACAAAAUAAUUAGAAAAGUACCGAUGCUGGAUUAAGUGUUAUAAUUUUAAAUUUUAAGAGGGCGAAGAAGAUAAAAAAGGCAAAGUGCAAAAGCGGAUAUUAAUAAUGAAUAUUCUUUUUAGCAUUUUAGCCAAUAGUUUAUACAACCGAUAUAUUUAUAAAAUUAUACAAUCUAGAGUUUACACAUCAAUGUUGUUGUUGUUAUAAGGGUUAAUUUCAUAGGUACCCUCUCACCAACCCCUAAUUACAUGGAUACCCUUCAAAAAUUAUUAAUAUCAAAAUUACCCUCCAAAUUUAGUAAAAUUAUCAAAACUACCCAUGUUACUUGAAUUUCAGAAAAAAUAUGGCCAAAAUACCAGUUUUACCCCUCUCACUCUUACAACAAUUAUAAUACAUAUUUUUUUAUAAGUAUUUUUUAGUUUAAUUUAAUUUGUUUUUUAUUUACAGUUUAAUUUGAUUAUUUUUUCAAAAAAAUUAUGACUAUGAGUUUUUUUUCAUAUUUGUCUUUUUAUAGUUUACUUUGAUUAUUUUAAUUAUUUUUUCAUUUAAAAUAGAAAACUAUCAAAAAAAAUUUUCAAAGAUAAAAUAGAAAACUAUCAAACUAUAUAUAACAUAAUAUAAAGAUUUAAAAAAUAAUCAAAGUAAACUAUAAAAAGACAAAUAUGAAAAAAAACUCAUAGUAAUAUAAAUUAAAGCUACAAUAAAGAAUUUUCAAACUACAUCUAAAACAAUAUAAAAAUCUUAAAAUAAAUCUAACAAAAAGUAUCUAAUUAUUCCAUUUGUAAUUAAACAAAUAAAAUGAAUAUAUACUAGUUAAAUGAAAUAAAAUAUAGACAUAUUAAACUAGUUAAAAUGAAGACAUAUUAAAUUAAUUAAAUUAAACUAGAAAAAUACUUAUAGUAAAAGUAUAUUAUCUUGGUAAUAAAAUAUAUAUUAUAAUUGUUGUAAGAGUGAGAGGGGUAAAAUGGCUAUUUUAGCCAUAUUUUUUUUAAAAUAUAGGUAAUAAGGGUAGUUUUGAUAAUUUUACUAAAUUUGAAGGGUAUUUUUGAUAUUAAUAAUUUUUGGAGGGUAUCCAUGUAAUUAGGGGUUGGUGUGAGGGCACCUAUGAAAUUAACCCUUGUUAUAAUAUAGGACUUGUGAUAGCAUUAUAUGAGGCCCAAAAAGUUUCCCCAAUUUUUGGCUCUUUUGUAAGUAACAAAGAAACAUAUAUACAUCUUUCUUUUAUAACCAAAAAAAGAAAAAAAAAAAAAAGACUUUAAACAAAUACUUUGCAAUUCAGUGCACAGAAAAUUUCUUAACAUUGCUAAUGUGGUGUCAUCCUAAGCGUUUGCCGAAAAAAAGUAAAGAAGCUAAAUAUAACUCCGCCUCCAAAACAUAGUUAUCAUAUCAACCAAUCAAGAAAUUGUGAUGGAUUGAUCUAUUUUAGACGAAUAAUCAGAUCAAUGCCAUGUCACUGGUGCGUAAGAAUUUUCUGAGAAAUAAGAAAAGAAAAGCAAUAACAACAUGCAGAUAAAAUCCCUCAGUUCUAUCGCACUUGAGCCCCUUUGAUAUUAAAAGACCUCUAGGAAGCCCCUUCCAUCUUUGCAUUAUUGCGAGGCCGAAAGAGGAUGGCUCUGUGAAUGAUAAAAUUAUGUAUCCAAAAGAGUGUGUCCAUGAUCUCACAUGAAUUCGGCAGUUGUUGAUCUUCGGGCGUGUUUGGUACUGUAGAACCACAGCCCACUGGGCGGCUGUCUGGUGAAGUAGUCAUUCGUUCUGUACACAAAACUAGGCAGCUCUUGAGACAAUACACACGUGAAUCAUGUUGGAUCGUUGACGCUAACCAUUAAUCUCAAAAGCUCGAGCUGUUAGAAAUACGCAACCAAUUCACUUAAAGCAUAUAGAUACAAUGCCCACGGGUCUCGAUUGUGACUCGGCCCAAUCAGCCUCACGGCACUUCAAACAUGACUCGACGCACUCAGUCUCACGCCAUUUCGAACAUGAUUCGCCCAACAUGGCCUCCCGCGACAGGGCAGAAUACUGGCCCAUUUAAGCCAGCAAAUCCUAACAACAGACCGACUUCAAAUGCUCCCUCCAAAAGUGUCACGUCCUGGACUUCAGCGGAAGCUUACUAGUCGCGUGCACAGAUCCGCCGUGUACAUCACAACCACAAGUAUAUACCAGGCGUCUACAAUUCACAUAGUAAAAACGUUCGAUUCUAACUAGGUAAUCAGAGCAUAACUUACUAAUAUAGUAAACUCAUACAAAACAAAACCUUAUUACAAUUUAAAAGUAAAAUGCAUUCUACAUAAAUCCAACAUACAACAUUGAGCUAAACUCAAAAUAAACUAGUAGAGGUUCAUCUAUAUAACAUCGAGAAGGUUCUAAUUAGCCGCUGACCCCUCGCCAGGAAUUUCUAGUCUUUUCCGCUGUGGAAGGCUCUGUAAAAACAACAACAAAGAGGGCAUGAGAACUAUUAAACAAUAGUUUCCAGUGGGUAAGCCGCCGAGAGUGGCGAAGUACACCACUAGGUCAACUAAGGCAUAAGUAUAUAGCAAUGAGUAAACAAAGUAACAGUAACAAUUAAAGAAAUAAUUUAAUUAUACUAUGCCUCCAAAAGAUAUGUAUGAUAAUAAGUCCAUAUACUUGCUCAUACAAAUGCAUUUUAUUAGUCAUGCUUUAUGCAGAAUAUUAUCAUGUUCAUUAGUUAAUGAUAUCAUGUAGCCAUUUCCUACACUAACAAGAGUGUAAACAUUCAACUAUUGUUACAAAACUAUUAAUCAACAACGAUGUCAACCUCUUUGGAUAUUCAUUACUAGAUAUACUUAACCAAUGACAUAAAGUGUCCUUAUUACUAUGUUCAUCUAAGGUUAAGGUAACUCAUCAUAACCUGACUCAUAAUAGACUUACACAGGAUAAAGUCAUAGCCGCGCCGUGCCUAGUGGCCCCGUGGAAGUCAACACUACCCAUGGCAAUCCACUUCGACGCUCAAAUCGUACAUAUGCGAGCAAUCUGUCACUAAGCCACUCCGGAGCGCUGGCUUAGGGUGCGCGACCCCUACAAGCGUGUGCGAAAGAGCACAAUGGCAUGCAAACUGUAAUCCAUAGCACAAGUAUCAUGAUGUCAUCAUGUCUCAAACAUGGAAUUUCAACUCGACCCAAGGUCGACACUAUAGUACUAAAUCGUAAGCCACUAUCAACUAUUUGUUGACAUAUUUCUACUAAUAGCUAGUAUAACUCAAGCUAGUAUAUACUUUACCUCAUAGUGGGCUAUACCCACACCCACUCACAUAAAGUUCUCUUACUACUCCCUAUACAUAAGGAAAGUGGGUUUCUAAGGUCAUGUCUAAUGACUCGUGGCACAUAUUCUAUAGUUCAAUAUAAUCCUUUACUACUUGGAGUAAACAAGUAAUAUACGAUUACAUCUACUUGAUCAUACAAGUAAAUCAUCAUGUCCAUUUCUAUUUAUUCUAUUAGAACAUAUUCAGUAGUAUAACAUACAAGUUAUGUCAUAAUGCUAAAUUCUAAUUACUUAACUGGAUCAUACAUCAAUGUGAAGUUCAUGCCAGUACUAUUAGAUGAAAACAUUAACCAACUUGUCAAUUCAAGUAUGCAAGAAAGCAUCUAUAGUACUCUUUACAUGUUUUUCAGAUGAAUGUAUAAGUAACCUUACUAUGCAUGAUAUACUGCCAGUUCCAUCAUCAUAUCACUAACAUGGAAUUGCAUAUUUUAACUCGAGAUAUCAUAUCAUACUAUCUCCUUCCCUGAAUUAUCCAACUGAACCACAUGUCAUUCUCAUGGUUCUACAGUUAACUCUAUUGACUAGUGUCAAAUUUAACUUGUCUACACAAGUUUACUAGUAUCAGAAAUAAACGCUAACAGAGCAAGUACGCUGUAUAAACUAAAUGGUUUCUUAACCUUUCCUCUACUACAUAGAGGUUUUAUUCUAUUCCAAUCAUAUGCAUACUGAUACAUGCUCCAAUCCAUUCAAAUAUACAUAGGUUCACAUAGAUAAGCAAUAAUUCCAGUUUUAUAAUGUCAAGAAGACAUAGAGGGAAUUCACCCAUUUUGGAAAGGUCAGACCUACAAGUAGUCGUCAACUCAUGUCGACCCCACGAACAAGGGUAAUCCGCAGCUUCCAAGUACCCUAGCAAUUAAAUCGAAAAUCAGCUAAAGUUGACUUUAUACCUGUAAUAAAACCUCACGUAAUCAUCUUAUCUAGGUAAAUUCUUACCUAGUAGAGUGUUAAUACUUGAACCCUCACUUCGGAUCAAGGUAGAACACCAAUUCCAACCUUUGAAAGCUUCCCAAAUUAACUCGAAAAGAUCAAGUGGUCCACUGUGAACCUGCUACAAUCUGCUUCAAAAACAGUAGUAAUACACUUGCAUGAUCACUUAAUAUAGGUUAACGUCACACCUAGGUUUAGACCUAUGUUAAACCCUUACUUCCCUGCAGGUUAGGGUACCCUAAACUCACCUUUGAUGACCACAAGCUCAGCCCAAAAGGGUCUAAUUCUCUGCUGCGAAUCUGCGGCGAAUUACAUAAAACUGCAUUAGAGAUACAACCAAUCCCUUCAACCAGCAAGUUAGUAAACAAUUUACCUUCCAAUAAGUUUAGUUCAGCUCAACCCCUGAUUGAAACACCUCAAAUUAAAUCAGCUCAUAAGAGUCCCAAUAUUCAGUUCAAAAUAAAUUCCAAGGCUGCUGUAAACAUAAACCAAAAUCUGCAUCACUACUUCACCAAUAGGCCUACUAUAACAUCAAAGAUAGGAGAAGUAGCUAGCUAAUCACCUUUCAAGCUUCACUUUAGCUUUUUCUCUGGUUUAGGGUUGAAGAACUACAGCCCAACUCUGCUUUUUCAGCUGCUGGGACCUCCCCUCAAACAAGCUCGCAACAAGAAACCCAAAUUAUCAUCAACUUCACUACUAUGGCUAAUAACUUGAGAGAAGUUGUGUAUCUCACCUUAUCAAACUUCAACUUAGUUUCCUACUGAGUUAGGGCUGCGAAAAUACCUUUCUCAAGAUUCCUUCUCACCUUCCCACAGCUGCUCCAAGUCACUCAAACCAGCAAGCACCAAAAAGAAGGAUUAACUAAGCUCAAAUCUAUCAAUCCUUGCUUCAACAUAGUAAUCCUAGAGAGAGAAAGAGAGGAAAGGGUUUAAACCUUAUCCUCUGAGCUCUAGCAAGCCUUAGUCAUCUACUGGGGUCGUGCUGGGCUUUAGGGAUAAGCUUAAGAAGUGAAAAGACCAAAAAAACCCUGCUGCCUCGCAGCUGUUUGCACUUGUACCGGUACACAAUGAAGGUUGUACCGGUACACUAUACAAAAAUACAGAAUCUGCAUUUUGCAAUGCACUUCUGCUCUUCCGACCACUUGAUCACUCUUUUAACUUAUCAAAAACCUUACUACCACUCUUUAAAAGAUGUAGGUUAGCUCCCAUUACCAAUCCCACUCAUCAAACUUCAUAAUUGGCCAAAUUCGGAAUACUACAUUUGAAUAGUACAUUUACAAUGCACUUUUCCACUUUCAAUUGUCAGUUUGCUCCAGUAACUUGCUGCAACUUCACGACAGCCCUUCAAAAGUUGUAGAUAGUUCCAAUUUCUAUUCCAACACUCGAACUUCGCAAUUUGCCAAAGUUCAGUGUAUUACAAAAAGUCCUAACUUCGAAGUUUUGUGGGCGGCCGUCGAGUGAAGCCGUCAAUUCGUGCUACACACGAACUGGGCAGCUCUUGAGACAAUACGCACAUGAGUCCCAAUGACAGACUGACUACAAACGCCCCCUCAAAACGCCCUAACCUUGGAGUUUCAUGCGCACAUCACUUCAGCAGGCGACUUCAUCCUUGCUUUUCAUCCCACUUUUCGGCAAUCCUGCUGAUAAAGCAUGGUAUUAUUUCUCUGCAAGGAGAGGAAACAUUGAAGAGUAGAUAGAGAACUAAAAAAACUUCUUUCUGUAGAAAGAGAUCCAAAUCAUCUAACUAUAAAAAUUUAGAGCACUGAAGCUUAUCUCAGGGAUAAAGAAAUUAGUUUAAUAAAGUUUACUGAGGAAAAAUAUGAGUAUCUACGGCAAAAAAUUCUAGGUUUUUUCACUAGCAAUACUUAGUGUUUGCCAAUUUAUUGCCUUAAGCUGUGAGUGAUUACUCUGCUGUUAGAUUCAUAAGUACAAAUGAGUUUACCUAUUCAGCUAGUAAGGUGCUUUCAAUUGACAGGGGUAAACUACAGUUUUGGUCCUCAAACUAUCAGUUGUGUGACACUUUGGUUCUUAAAUUUUAUUUUGUUACAAUCUCUAGCUCGAACUGUAGAGUACCGGACCUUAGCAAACAGGCAAUGUUGCAUUAUAGGUUGCUAGUUAGCAUGUUUUUAGAAUGCUGGACUAAGUUGGAACAGUUUUGGCGUGAAAUAAAUAUGAAAACGGACUCAAAACCGAAAUAAGCUCAAAAUGUGCGGUUGGUUGCACUUUCGGAUGCCCAAAAGUGGUUUAGGGCGCCCAAAUAUAGUGAGCUGAGGACUUUGGAGGUUUCGGACCCUGUUUGGGAUGCCCGAUUUGGGCACUGUAGCAAUCUGAAAGUUUUGUCAUAUGUGUGAUAUAACUAGGGCGGUGCAUACGAAUACCUGGUGACUCACGAUGAUUUAGGGUGCAGGUUUCAGGCGCCCAAAUUGAUUCGGGCACAAUUACCGCAGGUUUUGGACUGUCGAAAGUGGUGAAGGAACACCCAAAAGGCAUGUCGUAGGGGUUUUGAACGCCGGAAUGAUGAUUCCGGGCUCCCAAAACUCGGAUUUUGGUUGAAUGUGGGAUUUUCUGAAUUUGGAGACCUUUCAUGUAAUUGUUACUUUAUAUAGUGGGUGACAAAUAGACUUCUCUUUCAUUCUUGCUUCUUCUUCUUCUUCCUUGUACGUGUUUUAGAGAGAGAGGGAGAGAGAGAGAGAAUGUUGGAGAUCCAGGAGGCGAUCGACGACGCGCACGCGCGCACGAUUUUCUGUCGCAUCGGAUUGAAGGUUAGUAUCUAUAACAUAUUAUAAAUUCUCAGUUUAUGUAUAGGUGACACGACUUGGGGUGGGCCCCACCCCAUUUUUUGGUUGGGCAUGGGUUCGGACCUGGCCUACUUUUUUCUUUUUUUUUAAUUUUGAUUUCUUUCUCUCUCUAUUGAUUGGAACAUGAGGGAUUAAAGUUUUUUUAAUUCAAUUUAAUACUCUUCUCUUUUAUUAUAAAAAUUUUAAAAUAUAUAAUUUUUUACACAUAACUUUUAAAUAAUUUAGUUACAUGCAUUACAUAUAAAUUUUUAUAAUAUUGAUCACGUAGUAUUGAUUGUACAAUUAAAAAUGAAAGAGAGAUUGAUUGAUGAAUUACUUAUUUUAAUAAAUUUAGUUGUAAAAAUUGUAUAAAAUAUACUAAUUAAAUCUGUAAAACUAAACGACGCAUUCAAAAUUUUGAAGUCCAAGUAUCAUUGAUUAACUCAAAUCUAACAUAUUGAAAGGUUGGAUAGUAAAAAACAAAAUUUUGAAAAUUUAGAUUGCUUAUUCAAAAUGGUUCAUAAUUCAAGAAAGUACCAUACAUUUUUAAUUUUAUUUUAAUAUCAAACUUCAAUGUCAUAUUUAUAAUCUGAGGAGCAAUCAAUUUCGCAUUUAAAAUCUUUUGAAAUAUCCGAAGUAUGAUUGGUCGAAUUUUAAUUUUAACAAGUAGGCAUUCUAAAAUAUAUUAGAUAGUUUAAUAGCUUUUUUUCCUUAAACGAAAUUAAUAAUUGAAUAAAACCAAUCGAUAAUCAACUCUAUCUCUGUCUGGAAUAAAAAUAAAAUAUAAAAAUACUGAAUUACAUUUUUGGUCCUCAAACUAUAUGACGCGUGAUACUUUAGUUCUUAAACUUUAAUGCAUUAUAAUUUUUGGCUCAAACUAUAAGACACAUGAUACUUUAAUUCUCAAACUUUAAUUAGUUGUAAUUUCUGAUUCAAACUAUGAAGUAUACGAUAUUUUAGUCCUUAACUUUUACUGAUAUUAUAAAUAUAAUUUAUUAUUCUUAUGAUUUUGUCCUUAUUAUUUUCUUACUCUUCUUAUACUUUUAUUUUUAUGCUUUUACUGCAACAGCUGCAGUUUCUUUUUUAGUUUUUUUUAUUUUAUUCUUUUUUAUUCUUUGACUCUUCUUUUAUUAUUUUUUGCUAUUUUUUUCUUUAGCUUUAUUUAUUUAUUUGUUUCUGCAAAAUCGAUCUGCCACAACGCGCAUGUGCCUUCACUAGUUAAAAUAUUAUAUUUUCGUGAUUAGAAUUUUUGAGGUGAUUUUAGGAUGUUUUUAGGAGUACAAAUUGGAUGGAUUUUUGUGGAAUUGGAUUAAGAAAUCAUGUUAUAUGUGAUUUAGGACCCGGAUUAUCGCAAAUUUUGCCAUGGGUUUUUCCGAGCUAUUUGUUGGUGUUGUGGUAGCCGUGGGAGACCGUAGUUUGGAGUACCUCGUGGGUUCCAACGUCCUUUCCUUUCCGGGAAUAGCAACCUAAGUGGGUUCCUUGUCGUCGAAAACGGCGCAUUACCUUUUAUGUCUAUUAUUUUGCAUGCUUGAUUUUGAUGUCAUCAAAUUCUUGGCCUCCGUUUGGUUGGGGGUUAAGGGGUGGAAUAAUCCCUUAACCCCCAUUUUAUUUCCAAACACUUCUAAAAAUGGGUGGGGUUAGCUAACCCCACCUCAAAUGGGUUAUUCCGGAUUAGCUAAACCCACCAAACCCCAACCAAAUACUAUUUUCUAUUCAUAAUAACCCACUAUCCUUCUUAUCCCACCUACUCCAACCAAACACUAUUUUUCACUAUCCUCAACUAACUCCAAUCCCCAACCAAACACAAAAAUACUCUAACCCUACCUUAACCCUAAACUUAACCCUAUCCCUGGAAUAACUAGUUUUUCCUUAACCCCGAACCAAACGGUAGCUGAGGGUAUUACAGUGUUAGUAAAAGCAUGUGGAUAUUUCACUGAACAUGAUAAAUUAUGCUUAUGUAUGAUAUAAUGUUUUGGUCUUUACCGGUAUAAAGAUUGUUGGGUUCGUUUGAUUAUUUACAUGUAGGUUCAUUUGAUUAUUUGGUUGGAAUAAUAGUAGUUGGGUUGCAUGCAUGUAUGGACUUAGGCUUUAUAUUAUGGUAUUUUAACAGUGCGGCAUAUGGCUAGAUAAUUGAUGUGUUAUAGUCAGGGGACCUACGUGGUAUAAUUAUGGUUAGUCUAUGUGGUGCUUGAUGGCAGGUGGGUUUAAAAGUUUAUGCAUGUAUAUAUGUGGGUUUGUGGUUUUACAAUGCUAUAGGGUUGCGUGAGGUUAUUUAUGUUGUGUUGGGAUAUGUCUAUAGAUGUGGUUUUUAUAAUAUGGUACAUGCUAGUAUGUGCUCAUAUGAGGAUAUGUAUAUUGUGUUGAGAAUUGUCAAUAUGGUGGGACGUGCAUAUGUUAUGGAAUAGUAUUAUUAUGCCAGAGACAAUGGGAUAGUGUAUUGUGCCUGGGACAACGUUACUGUGUAUUGUGAUCUUUUUUAUCAUAGUGUUGACCACAGCCUGCAAGCCACAUUGAGCUUAACAGUUGUUGUACUACUAUUCGGUGGGUCGCGCCCUACAAGUGCCCCUCCGGAGGUGUGGCGAUUGGCAUAGGCAAGCCAGACAGACAUACAGUAGCCUCGUGCAGUGGGCUUCAACCUUGGCGGUAGUGGUGGCUGGCACGAGGCGGCGCAGGCUUGACCGAAUUAUUGAGUCGGUUAGUUUAUGAUUGGGUUAGUAUAUGAUUGGGUUAUAUGGUACAUUUAGUAUGGUUACUUUAGUUGAUACAAGAGAACCAUUGAUUGUUAUACAUUGAUUCACAUAGAGACAAAUUACUUUUACUGCUUAUGUUGACCUUACUGGAAGUAUGAUAGUAUUUAUCUUUCUAUUCAUAUUAUGCUCUGUGACUCAUUCAAUUAUAGCUUUGUAGUAUCCGGGUAGAGGGGCAUGAUAGACAUGGUGAGUCUACAGUUUAGUGUUUUUCUAUUCAUUCUCUAUUUUGCCUCUGGUAGACCUAGUGGGUAGGUUGUGGUUGUUGCCGAUCAUACCCACUGGGAUCUACUGUCUAAUAGUUCUUUUGCCCUCUUAUGUUUUACGUUUUAGCACCUUCUAAGCCAGUGUUGGAUCGAGGUAAAAGGAUACGCCAUAGUUAGCAUCUCCUACCAUAUUCAAGUGUGAUAGAGGAGACCACCAGCUAGUUAGUUUUAAAUAAUAUACUAUACAUCCAGACUGGCAAGAUUAGGGCCUUUUAUUUGUAGCUAUGUUUUGGGAGUUGACUAUUGAUUACUUGUACAGUGAUAGUUAGUAGAUUCAGUUUCUAUCUUGCUCUGAUACAUGAAUAUUUAGUUGUGAACUCCUAGGAAUUGAUUGUAUGCUAGUAGCAGACUCCUAGGAUUGCUUCUAGUUUUGUGGGACGCUUCGUAUGUACAAGAAAUUUUUAUAUAUACGACGGUCUGUUAACAUAUCGGGAGGCUUCCGCUGUGAAUUCAAGACGUGACACGAACCUUCUAAAUUACUACAAUCAAUCCCACAAUUCAAAUUAAUCGACUAAAUAUUGAUGUAGCAUUAAUAUGAAAAAGAUAUAGCAACGUGGUGAGUGAUAAAGCGACAACAAUUAAUAUGCCACAUCACUUCCACCUUAGUGACACGUCAACAUUUAGUCAACUAAAUUUGAUUAUGAGAUUAGAUUGCAACUAUUUACAAAGUUUGAACCGAAAAUUCCAAUAAGCUAAAAGUUAAGUGUCAUGUACCUCAUAGUUUGAGGACCAAGAGUGUAAUUUAGCCUAUUGACUUUACAUGAAAAACAAAGAAAAGAUGAGUAACACUUGGUAAAAUCUAUCUAUCUAUACGAGUAUAUAAUUCAUGAGUCUGUCGGUGCCACGUGUCAUUCUCUCGGCUUCUUUCACUCCUGACUCUUCCUCUCCCUCUCAACACCACUCCUUCCUAUUUCGUUAAUUAAUCUUCUCUCCCUCUCACAUCUCCACAGAAGGUCACCCGUCUUUUUAAGAACAGGCAUCUCUCUUUUUCCCUCUCCUCUGACCUCUCUACAACCUCCCUAACCCCACCCCUACUUCCCCUCCCUUAAAAUCUAAUUAUUACCAUCCUCCUCCCGGACCCAAUUAUUACUUAGACACUCAAUACUUCUCCCACCCUCUCACGCCUCCCACUCCGGCAGUUCACGGGGGCCUUUCAAAUCGUCUCCAAGCUUAAUGGUUAUUUGAUUCAUGAAAUCAAGGUCCAAAUGACACACAGAGAAGGGUCACCGGAGGUGGCGGUGGUGGUGACGGAGGUGUAGAAGGCGGCGACGGGGAGGAGGAAAAAGAGGAGCAUCGGAAGUUGGGGAUGGAUCUGACUCGUAAGGAUUGUAUCGUCAAGCGCAGGCUGCUCUACUCAGCUGCAACCCUCAUCCUCUGUGUCACUGUGUGUUAAUGCUGUGUUCUCCUUUUGUUUAUUUUUAUUUUUUAAUUUUUUAUUUAGUAGAGAGAGCAGAGGGAUCAUUUAGAGGCGAUGGAAGGUGCGGAUAGCACACGCGAGCGCGACAAGAUUAAGACUUCGUUCGUUUGAGAUUGCGAAAAGAUUACGUUACGUGCGGUGAGAAAGUACGUCAGAAAAAAUACCAUAUUUAUUUCCGUACGUAAUAUUACGUUGUUCCGCAUAUCGCGAUGAGUCGGUUACGAUAUAUUUUCUACGAUCUCACCGGAAAAUGCAAAAACAUAUUCCUAUAUGCUUUUUCCUCAACUCCAUUUUAUCUAAUAGCGUUAGAUAGAGAGUUCACCCAUGCAUUGCAAAGAAGAAUUUGGGGUAUGAGGUGGAAUAUUCAAGAUAUUUCUUUUUCAAAAAAAAGAUUAUAAAAUUUUUAUAAAAUACGUUGGCAAUUAUUUUUUCUAAAAAAAGUUAUUGUGCCUAAUUUGGAUUUAAUAAUUCAGACAAGUUUUGUACAUUUUAAUUAUUUUUUCCCAAUGUCUUUUUCUUACCAAACAAAUAAUCUGCCCAUAGGAGUCUUUGAAAAAUAACAAAAGUCAAGAUAUCGAAAUUUGAAUUCAAAAUCUAAAAUUAUAAGCUGAAAUUUGAAUUUAAAUUUAAGUUUGCAUUUUGGAUUUAAUUUCGAUAUUUAUUUUCAGUUUGAACUGUGAAUUUGAAUUAUAAUUCCAAAUGUCCACUUUGAAUUGUGAUUUAAACUCAAACUGAAAUUUAAAUUUAAAUUUCAAUUCAAAUUUUGAAUUCACAUUCGAAUUCAAAAUUUACAAUCAAAUAGUAAAUCAAAUUUUGAUUCAAAUCAUGAAUUCAAAUUUUAAGUUGAAACUUGGAAUUAGAAUUUACUAUCAGUUGUAAGUUACAAAACUAGCACUUUAAAUUUAAAUUACAAAUUUAAUUGUGUGUCUUUAGUUCUAAUUAUAAAUUUAACUCAGAUUUAGUUUAUAUUUGAAAUUUAAAAUUAAAUUUUGAAUUUCAAAUGUAGAUUUAAAUUUAAAUUAUGAGCAAUCAAAUAUCAAGCAAUCGAAAUAACAAAACUUCUUUGUAAUUUCGAUUGUUUGUUAGUGGAAGUGGACAACAAUAAUAUUCAAUCACAUGUCCAAAAUUAGAACAAAAGCAGUUGAUCUAUAGAGUUGUAUCAAGAUCAUUAUUUGAAAUUAAGAAAGUAAAAAAGUGCUGGCAUUGGAGAUUUUAAUAGUGUCUACCAGCUGCGAAGCGCAGGCUCUUAACUAGUACUAUCCAAACCGGAGCCAACAAUUAUAAUAAUCAAAACAAGAGGCUUAAUUGUUUGUACCGUAAGCGCUCAACAUGAAAACCUACGGCAAUUCUGAAUUCCAACAGUAUAGGUGUGGUUAUUAUCAAAUAUAAUUUGUAAAAUAUGAAAUAUCGAUCAUAUAGAUGAUUUAUUCGGAACUUUUGUCUACUUACGCAUCUAGAAUGCAACAUUAACCAUGUGUAGGACAAUUCAUGAAGUGUGCCUUUCGGUUAUUUUGUUGCUAUAGUAGCAGGCGUUUUAGAAAAGUAAAUGUUUCCAUGGACAAGUGUAAGUUAAAAUUAAGUAUAUCCAUAAAAUAAACAGAAAUAAAAAAAAAAAGAAAAUCAAAUAAUCUAAUUAGUGACAAACAUCAUAUAACCUUGUAAAAUAGUUAUUUCGACCAAAUAUAUGCCCGGAGAAGAGCCUUAAAGUGAACAUCCGACUUAUGGCAUCGGAUUGAAAAGCUGUUAUGUUUGAGAAAGCGAAAAAGCUAAGAAUUGUGUUAUUUAUUCGAAUAUUCGCUACUGAAAAUAAAAAUAAAGCUCGUUCGCAAAUAUGAUACCUUGAAAAUAGUUGAUCCUUUUCCUCGCUUAAACCACCAGCAUCAUUUCCACUGGAUCAGGAUUGCUUUGUUUAGGUCAAUGGGCAAUUCUAUGCAAUGUUAUCUCAAAAUUCGGCUUGUUUAUUUCUGUGGGCACAGAUAGAUUGACCUGCAGGUGCACAUACGAAACAUGAAAAAAAUGAACAGUAAAAGCGUAAAGAAUAUGAAAGAAAUAAAAGGGUAUGGCAUAAAAAAUUCGAGAAAAAGGAAAACAAUAAAAAAUUUGGCAGACCUACGUAAGUUUACUACAAAAUCUGUAGCAUAAUAAAGUUCAUGCCAAAGUUUCAAGUAAUCCAAUCCAAGAAACAUAUAGUGAUAAAACAAUAAUAAAGAAUGAAAUUAAACCACAACGUUUAUUAACGAAAUUUGAUUGCAAAGUGCAUCAUCCUAUGUUGUCGAGUCACUUAUAUCUAUAAAACAAUGAGUAGCACUAAGGAGGCUUGCUCACGUACCGAUUUGAUGGCACUUAGUCUUCUGGCAGCUGCAACCUAUGCAGGAUUAUCAAAGGACUGCAUCUGCACAAGCAACCAAAUAUCCACAGGUCUUUAGAACAAAGAAGAAAAUCUGAAGAUUUUAGGUUGAAAAUAUCUAAAACUGAGUAGAUGGAUUGUAACUUUAGUAAAUCUACACUUCAUAACAAAGAAGUUUGGUUCAGUUAGGUACAGCACCAGUAGCAGAUUUGUAUGAAAACCAAUGAACAAUAGAACUCAUGUAAUGGAAAGAUUUUAGAUCUUGUUCAUGUACAAUAUAUUAUGAUACGGAGGGAAAAAACAAAAUUGACAUCAACAAAGUAUCUUGCCGCACAGAAAUGCUAAACAGGGGGGGGGGGAAGAAACAGGUUGCUUGUUCCUGCUAUUGCAGUUGUAGAUCAACUUAAAUGCUCUUAUCAUGAAAAUCUUUACAAAUUAAUCCACAGCGGACCUAUGUUCCCCACUUUGUUGAUGAUAUAAUAUUAUGGUGACAAAAGGACAGUAUGAAGAUCAUAAUUAAACAAGGAUUUCAUUGCCCUGGGACGGGGUUAUGCCGAGAACUUGCUGGUACGGUACAUUAUACUGCAUGAUGUACCAUACUGGUUCGUGCCGGUCACAAAAAUACGUGUGCCGAGACAUUAUGGUAUUAAAUAUUUAUUUUCUUUGGUACUCUAAUUGCCUAUUAUAUAUUUCUAUCAAAUCUUUUGCCUUUUAUUGAGAUAACUACUUCUAAUUUCACAUAAAAGAGAGUUUGAGUGGUGCUAUCGGCACAGGAGUCAUAUCAUGCCGAUAUCUUGUCAGCACCGUACGGCAUGGUGGGCACGUCCACGUCGCUUGCCGAUGGGCACUUAAAUCCUUGUACAUAUAUUUUUAAACAUGUCAAGAAGGAACUUCAAGCAAGAAUAUAUUUUCAGCCAUAGAUACACAAUCAUACUAGAUCUAGUUAAUCCAUAACAAGUGAGAAAACAAUUCAAGAAACAACAUUAGAUUUCUCGAUGAAACUUUCAACGACAUGACUAACAGGUUUCUAUUAAUCUUAUCAUACAUAUACAUAUAUACAGUACUUACCUGUCCAUAUAAAACAGCAUAGGAAGAAAUUAACCUUUUGCAUGUAAUGCACAAGCCAAUUAUUAUAAGUAUAUGCAGCUAUAUGAAAAUAUGUUUGCUAGCAAAUUGAAAGAGAUUCUGUAGAAGUCGACCUUGUAUAUACUGAGUGACUCGAACUAACAUCUAAUUUAGCAAAAUAAGGAACAAUUCAAAAAUAAAUUACGAUUUGAAUGUCUAAGUUACAUGUAAGAUUAUUAGCGAAAUUCAAGAAAUGGUGUACUUCUGUUUCAUUAUGGGUUACAUUGAAGAGAAAACUAAUCAGUAAGCACAGCUUUUUUUCUUUUUUUUUUAAGCAGGUUAAACAAAAUAUAUGACAACAAAUGUGAAAUAAAAGUUGAAGAAAGAAAUUACCUAAGCAUACUUACAGAGGCUAACAUGGCCUUGCAGGAAAUUCAGAAAAUGAAAAGGUUUUUCUCCUAUCUAUCAGCCCUUCAAACAUGGAUCACAUUUUCCUUUUUGAAUAAUUGUUGAUCCUGCCAUACAUCUAAGCACAUCAAGAUAAGGUAUUGCUUCAACUUAUUUUCUAUUUUGGGAUACAACUGAGGCCGCAUAUCUUCAGCACACAAACUUUGGAAUUACAUGGCCGCAACUUCACACCCCGCCAGUGCUAAGUUGAGGUAGGCCUGCCAUAUUGAAACUCCCCUCCUCAUCUCACAUUCCGAACCAAAGCAAAGGCCAAUCUAGAGUUUCAUCGUGGUUCUAAAUGCGCUCUAUCAGACUUCCAUGGACAGCCGGCAUUCUUGCAAGUUAUGCUUAUCCAAACAGGCCUUGAUGUCCUCAAAUAGUUCAAACUUCUGUCAACGUCAUAAAUCUAAACACAUGUUGCCUCUGAAUUCGACCUUAUUUAUCAACACUGAUUCUUCUUCGGCAAUUCCUUAUACUAUUCAAUCUUUUCAUUGCACUUUCCAGUCCCUGAUGGAAACUUGUGGGAACAUUCUCUGAAGACAUUAAACCUCUAUUCUGUAUAUCUUGUAACAGUUUCUCUCCCUCCUCAACCCUGUUUUCCCUAUAAAAUGCUUCAAUUAGCACAGUGUAUGUCGUUAUAUUAGGCCAAAGCUCCCUUUGUAUUAUUUCUUCGUACAGCUUUAGCGCAUCAGAAACACGACUAGUUUCGCAUAGUCCGGUGAUAAGAACAUUAUAAGUCACGAUAUCUACUUUCAAUCCAUACCGUUCCAUCACAUCCUUCAAGUACAAAGCAUCAUCAAUUUUAGCUUCUUUACAAAGCCCAUGCAUGAGUGUGGUGAAAGUUGCCAUAGUCGGCACCCUUCCUGCCCUAAUUAUGCUACUAAAAACCAAUAUAGCCUCCUCGAUCUUCCCACAUUUACAAAGCCCUCUAACCAUCGAGCUCUCUGCAACUUCAUGCGGCACAAUCCCCAAUGCCUCCAUCUCAUCUUUCAGUCUAAAUGCUCCCCAUACGUCGCCAACCCUAAUUUUCCCAUUAAUUAAUGUGAUGUAAUGAUUGUGCCUUGGAGUAAACCCUUUCUCCAUCAUUUCAUGCAAAACUUCAUAGCUUUGUCGAAAACAAUUUUUUCUAUUUAACCCAUUGAUAAGCGCACUAUAGGCGUCGCUGCUUGGUGACAUUUGUAAAUUUUUCAUACAACUAACAAGCUUUAAAGCAUUAUCCAUCUGGGUUUUCUCACUAUACUCCACGAUAAGCAUAUCAAAGGUCAAGUUAUCAGGAAUAAUUCCAUCGAGCAUCAUCUUCUCCAAAAACUUCACAGCAAUAUCUAUCAUAUUAGACUUACAAAGCCCAAGGAUUAGUGCUUGAUAAGUUAUUCUAUCUGGGAUAAACCCUCUCUGCACUAUACUACUGUACAAUCUGAAUGAUUUCAAGGCCUGUUGGUUUUUGAUGUAACCACGAAUAAGAAUAUUAUAAGUGGCUACAUUUGGAAAUAUACCUUUAUUUUGCAUCAUACGAAUCAUCUUCUCCAUUUCUUGUACCAUACCUGCCUUCGAGUAGCCGUAGAUUAUUCCAUUAAAAGUAAUAGCGUCUGGAUCGAGGCUUUUGUUGCUAAUCAUCUCUUCGAACAAGUAUGACGCAGCCUUUAUUUGGCGUUCUCUUAUCAAUCCAUUUAUUAAACAAGUAUAAGCAACACGAUUAGGAAACAUACCCUUCUCCAACAUCUUGUCAAAGAGCACAAGUGCAGGAACAAUCUUCCCUUUUCUGCAAAAACCGCAUAGAAGAAUAGUAUAACUGUAGAUAUCAGGUGCUAAAUUAUUCUCAAUCAUUUUAUCCAGCAAGGACAAAGCACCAUUCAAGUCCCCAUAUUUACAAACUGCCGCAAGUAGUGUAUUAUAAGUGCGAGUAUCAAUAGCAAAAGGGAUAUUUACAAGUUGGGUCAGAAACUUCUUUGCCUCAGUUAAGUUUCCUCCUUUGCAUAAUCCUUUAAGUAGAUUUGCAUAUGUACAAAUAUCUGGAGAAAGACCCAAUCUAACCAUUUCAUCAUAAAAAGAAAAGCCUUUUAAGGCAUCACCUUUACUACAAUAACCAUCUAUCAUACAGUUGAAGGUAGUGGAGUUUACGGCUAGUUUCAUCCUAAUCAUGUGUUGUAUGAAAUGCUCAGCUUCUUUUAACAUUCCCUUUCUAUAAAGCGUAGAAAGUAAGGUAUUACAGAUAAAUGGACUGACUAAUUGACCAAUUCGCUGCAACUCGACAUAAAACUUCAAUGCUUCGACAAUAUCUCCUUUCUUACAAAAAUGGUAAAUUAGUGUCGAAUACACUAUUUCAUUAGGCAAAACUCCCGUUUUGUACAUCAUCGACAAAAUCUCUUUGGUUUGGUCCGUCUUAUCCACUUUGCACAAACCAUUUAUAAGUGCAGAAUAAGUAAUAACAUCGGGACCGAUGCCGGCCUCAAUCAUAGUGUAGAGAAAUUUCACCGCUUUAUGAAUUUUUCUCUCUCUACAAAACCCGUCAAUCAAAAUUGUGUACAUCACAUGGUUGAUAUUAAAGCCCUUUGAUCUCAACUGUUGCAGAAGUUGCAUUGCAGAGUCCAAUUUUGAAGCCUUGCAAUAGCCGUUUAGUAGAGCACCGUAAGUGAACUCGUUAGUGGUUACGCCCCUAGUUUCCAUCUCAUCCAAAACUCCCAAAGCUUCACUAAUUUUUCCACUUCGAGAAUACCCGUCAAUUAAAGUAUUAUAGGUGACUACACUUGGUCUUACACUGAACUUCAACAUGCCAUCGAAAAUACGAGUAGCAAUAUCCAUCUUGCCUUCUUUAGAAAACCCAUUUAUAAGAGUAUUGUAUGUGCUUUCGGUGGGGCAUACCUUCCUCUCUCUCAUCCUUUUUAGUAACAAAUAAGCUCGAGCGCUUCUCUUCGUCUUACAUAACUUGUCAAUAAUUACAUUAAAUGUAUAUACAUCCGCCUCAACGCCUUUGCUCUCCAUACUAUCUAGUAUCUUCGAAGCGUUUUUGAACCUCCCCUUCUUGCAAUACCAAGAUAGCAUAGUAUUAUAAGUAACAACGUUGAAAGAAAAACCACUCUCUUCCAUCUUCUUGAAGAUAUAACUAGCCUUUCCAUAUUUUCCCUGAGAACAAAGAGAAUUCAAAAUUAUAUUGAAAGUGCUCGCAUUCGGAUUAAUCCUCCUUAUGAGCAUUUGUUCGAAAAACGGCCAAACGGAAUCCAAUUUACCCUCCUUCAUAAGAGCUUUGAGGAUGGAAUUACAAGUGAAAAUCGAAGCUUUGAAUCCUCGAGCACUAAUUAAUUGGAACACCUCCACAGCAAAUCCAAUCAUCCCUUCUUCCACAUAAAUUUUAAUCCAAAAGUCAAAAACCGACUGAUUUGAAUUGCACUGGCGAUAGUUCUCCAUGAGAGAAUGAAAGGUAGAGGUACAUGAACGGCGCAUACGAGAGAGAUGUUUCAAUAUGGACUUUGCCGAAUAGAACAUGCGAGCCCGAAUAAGCAAGUGAAUGGUAAUGCAAUAAGUACAAGUAAUUUGAUCGAAACCGGGUUGACGUUUGAUCUAAUUGAGAAUCCUCAAUGCCAUCCGACUGAGAACCUUUCUUAGUGCCGCCAAAUUGCAGUUCAUGCGAUUCAGCGAUUCCCGUCGACGAAAUGUGAGUAUAUCGCUGAUGCUGUUUUUGAUCUCCUGGACUGUUCCGAAAAGCCACGAACUUGAGAAGAAAUGGCAAAUAAGCAUUUGCAAUAGCACAUGAAAUACUCAUAUUAAUCAAAUUAGUCAUGAACAAGUACAAAGAAACAUUGCUAAUGUUACCAAAAAAAGAGAAGAAGAAAAAAGUCUCAAAAAAUCAUAGAAAGACUACAAGAAACCCAACUUUGCAAAAUAGAAAAUCAGAAAAACAACUGUAAAUAUGUGACAAACUAACUAGAAAAAAGAAAUCAAUCAGCAUAGUCAAUAAAAGCAACAAAACAGGAAACAUGGAUUUGUACGAACACAUAAAUUACUCAUGCUAAUCACUUAAGAACGACGAAAAUUGGAAAUAUUAGGAUUGAAAUCCUCCAGAAUGACAAGUAUAUAUAUAUAUGCCACAAAUUGCAGUAAAGGUAAGAAAUCAACAAGCAUAGUAGAUAAAAAGCAUCAAAAUUAGUGUCAAAAUAAGAAAUUUUAUCAACUUUAGAGGGUAAAUAAAUUGCAUCUCAAAGAAGAAUAAAAGCAAACAGGUUUAUGUGCAAAAGGAAAGGACUACUCAAAUGCAUUACUAUAAAUAAAAAUUGAUAAUAGAUUUCCACCUUGCAGUACAAAAUCAUAGUAACUAGAUAAACAAAGUUAUAAUUUUGAAGGGUAAAAUGUACAGAUAGUCCCGUUAUUAUCCCAAUAUUGCAUUCUCAAUCUUUAUAUUUUUCACUUAAGUACUUUAGCCUUAAAAGAAUUGGACGUAGUUAGAAAUGCAACAGUUGGGGAGAAUAAUUAUAGGGGAAAUUGCAUGUUUGGUCCUCAAACUAUGAGACAAGUGACACUUUGGUCCUCAAACUAUAAUUUAUCACAACUUUUGGCUCGAACUUUUAGAAUUGUUGCAAUCAAGUCCCACAACCUAAUUUAGUUGAAAAUAUUGACGCAUCGUUGAUGUAUUGUCACAUCAUCAAUCACAAUACUUCGACAUCACAUCUACAUCAACAAUUUAUCAAUAUUUAGCAAACAAGAUUAGAUUGUGGGACUCGAUUGCAACAAUUUAAAAAGUUCGUGCCAGAAAGUACAACAAAUUAAAGUUUGAUGACCAAUGUGUAACCGACUCAUAGUAUGAGGACCAAACAUGCAAUUUACCCAUAAUUAUCUCUUAAACAAAAAAUAAUUUUUUUUUACCCUUAUAGAGAUGAUAUCACCAUUCAUAUUGAUCUUCAAAUGCACCUCCCAAUUAUAAGCAAAUAUAUAUAUAUAUAUAUAUAUAUAUAUAUAUAUAUAUAUAUAUAUAUAGUCCGGCUACUGAGUAUGAUCGCCCUCGUACUCAUAAGUUGUUUUUGAUGAUAGAGAUUCCGAAUUGACGAUCCACACCGGUAAACGUUAUCUAGAGCAUUUAAAACUUCUAGAAAUCAAAUUUUAUAAUUUUUCAACAUCAUUUACCUUACGAUCAAAAGGUCACAAAAUUGACAAUUUUUAACGACCGGUAUGGGAUAUUUGCUAGUUUAACAGUGUAAAAAAAUCGGAAUUGGUUGAAUUUUUGAUAGAAAAUUCUAUUCACUACCUAGAUAAAGAUCAAUAACUCCGAUCUUAAAUUGAAGGAUCUGAUCAUCCAUUUUUAGGACGUCGUUCGAUUUCGACCGUUCAUUUUAUACCCACUUGAUGGACUUUAUUAUGAUUUCGAAAAAUUACGAAAUUUAUUUUCUAGAAAUUUCAAAUACUCUAGAUCAUAUUUAAUGGAGUGGAUCGUCGAUUCAGAAGCUCCAUCAUCGAAAACAACUUAUGAGUACGAAGGACCCUAUACUCAUAAGAGUAUAGUAGCCCUACUUUAUAUAUAUAUAUAUAUAUAUUUGUGACAUUUUCAAAUCAAUACUACAAAAUAAACAAAAUACAAAUGUGGCUGCAGCAUUUCCAAACUACAUGCAUCUCUAACUACAUUAUAUUUAUAACU